RNAcentral lists this long non-coding RNA (63221 nucleotides) under Citrus sinensis (sweet orange). RNAcentral describes it as "long non-coding RNA (CSIN_LNC001147)". Lineage: Eukaryota; Viridiplantae; Streptophyta; Magnoliopsida; Sapindales; Rutaceae. The record is from RNAcentral.
AUUCAGUUCUCGUUGGAGGACCUACUCUGACCAAAUUCAGAGAAAUUAGCCUCACUAAAAGCCUAGUGGCGAAAUGUGUUUCUUUCCACAAUGUCGACUGUUUAAAUUUUGGUGGGGAUGUAGAAUAGUAAGUUAGUAACCCAGUUGAAUAAUUUCCAACACAAUUGUUAUAGCAGUAUUCUGGGUCAUAUGAGAACAAACAUGCAGGGAAGUUCAUCUAGAAAAUUAGUGCAGCCGCACUUUCAAUCAAAUUGCCAUAAUGGACAACAAUUCCUGAGGAAAAUUGUUAUGCAAUCUAUAGGCAGCUAACACAAACUUAUAUGACUUUCAUGUAGAAGAAGUGGCAGUACCUGGAGGGGCUAAGUUUAAACAGUCGUAUAAUUUAGAAAAUAAGAUAACAAGUACCAAAUUUUUAAAACUUCCUUGACAUAUUUUCUUUCAAUCAAUUUACAAUCAUCUUCCACAUGUUUUAUAUUUUAAAUGUUGAAUGACAGUCUCGUUCGACAAAAAAAUAUCAUUUAUACUGUAUAUAAAUAACUACGUUAUCAUUGCCUAAAAGCAGUAGAUUAAUUUUGUUCAAAGUUCAUCUAAUAUUGCAGGCCUUGGUUUUCCUCGAAAUAGACUAAGUUCAAUUGUUCGUUCUUUAUUUAUUAUUUGACACUACAAUAAGGAAAAAAAAGAAAACAAUCCUGAAAGGGCAUGAUUCCUUAUACACACCAAUUACAAGGUCAGUAAAAUGGUAUCCAAGAAAGGCAUGGAGGAAUCGCGAUUGAAAAGCUUAGAAACAUAAGUAAACUCCGUUGCAGCUUAGUUUAUGAUCAAGUUCAAAUCUCGAACAAUGGUCGUGAAUGAAAAAAUAUCAUGAGAUGUGAUAAUCUAAAUGAAGGUAAAUGGAUAUUGGUAUUACGGGCUAUGCCUAGGCUAUUUACACAUUUAAACAAUAAUCAUCGCUAUUUUCUACCAUUGUAUCUUCCGAAACUAAUUUUUGCCAAAAAUCAUCAUAUUUGUGCAUUAAAUCUAUUUUAAAAGUAGAUUUAAUCACCAUCAAUUUUUUCAUGGUAAGAUAAAGUAUGGAUAGCUUAUGUACAUAUUCUAUCUAAAAGGCAUGACUUUUCUCUAAAUGCUAAUCAUGUUUUAUCCUGAUAGCCAAUUUAAUAGCCAAUUUAGCACUUCAGCUCUGUUCUGUUAUCCUUUAUUUAUCCUCUACGCGCGAUUGCUCCACUGAAAUUGAAUCAAUAAUGCCUCAGAGAGUUCAUUAACAGCAAGACUAUAUAAACUGUAAGGUAAAGAAAUUUAUACUAGCACAUUGCAAUUGAUAAACAUAGAAAGAUCCCUCUGAAUUCUCAAAUAAGAGCUAACACUAUCAUAUAUUCAACUGUGGAUGCAGCCAUUGGAGUUCCGUCAAUAAUUGGAGUAGUCAAGACAAGAUCACCAGUGCUCAAAAUAAAUAGCUUACAGAAAAAAUAGAAAAUGACAAGUAAUUGACAUUCUCUUAUCAUAUUUCUCAUUGGAUUCCCCUCAAAAGUGAAAUAAAUUAUUGGCGAAAAGGACACAUACAUUCUUAAAUUUUGAAAAAAUUAUCAUGCAGGCACUCAAAUUUGUAAAAAGUAACACCAAGGUCUUUUCUUUAACCAUAAUAUCUCGUGAAUAUAGUAACUAGAAAAUUGAUUUUAAAAAUUUUUAAUCAUUGCAAAUACAAUAUAAGUAAUAUGAUCUAUGUAGUACACUCAUAACAUUAAAAUAUUUUUAAUACUUAAAAUAAUAUUAAAAAUUUUAAAUUAUGAUAUUUAAUUUUAUAUUUUUAUUUAUAAUAAACAUUUUAAAUAAACCUUUGGGUUAAAAAGAUUUUAAAAUUAACAAAAUGUCUUCCUAUUAAUAAUAUUAAAAUUAUUUUUUAUAAUAUUCAAAAUAAUUUAAACUUUAUUUAAUAUUAUGCUUCUAUUUAUUAUUAAAAUUACUUUAAUACGAUAAAAUAUGUAUAAUAAAUUGUAAAAUAUAAAAAUAUUUUCUUGCUUGUCAACAAAUUUUUUUUCCCCAAAAACCGAAAUAAAAUUAUGUGAAUAUCAAUUCUUUAACAGAACAACCUUAGCUUUCUGAUGUUUAAUACUACUCUUUUCAAUUCCAUGCCCAAAAAUUCUAAAAUUUUUAAUUAGAGUGCGUUUGGAAUUGAGGUGCUGUAUCUUUUAAGUUACAGCUACUGUGGAAAAAAAACUGUGACUAUGAAACAAAAAUUAAUAAUAUGUAGUAAAUAUAAAUUUUAAAUAAUAAAUUUGACAAAAUUAUUAAAGAUAUAGUAUAUUUUCUAUUAUACAAGUGAAAAAUCAUAUUAAUAUAGCUUCUAACCUAUAGCAGCUAGUGUUUACCAAAUACUUUAGUGUUGUAGCUCUGCCCAACUUCAAUCCCAAACGCACCCUUAGUCCUGUUACUGGGCUUGCGACAGUUAUGCCAGUGAAGGCAAUUUGAUAUUAAAAUAAUUUUUUUAAUGAAAAAAUCUUUAAAUUAAAAAAAAAAACAAUUGAUUUAAGCGCCAUCAAUCAUGUCAUGGUAGUAAGGCACGUGUCUUGAAAAUGAACACGUAUCAUUUUUUUUACGAGUAGUGAUAGACGUACCGAGCAUGUGAUAGCCCGAGAACACCGAAACGACAGCGGUAACUGUGUUUAGAAAUUUUAAUGACUUGCACGUGAUUUUCAUGUGAUCAACAGUAAAAUAAAGUUUUUUUUAAAAAAGUAACAAAGAUAUUGUGGCCAUUCCCCCCGUCCUCUUCUCCAAAUCUCAACGAGAUCACAUUCGUACCCAUCUCCAGCCAGUUCACCAUCAAGCCCGAAUGUAACACCAUUUGCUUGGUCCUUGCUCUUGAUAAGUCGAGCAUCUUUUUGCUCUUAAUUAGCUCUUGUCGUUUCAAUUUAUUUUAAUUUUUUUUUGUUAUGGUAUUCAAUUUUCGUCCAAUCUUUUGCUAUUUACUCUUCCGGUUCCAAUUUUAUUUUAUUUUAUUUUUUAGUAUUUAAUUUUAGCAUGUUUGAUCGUUCAUUUACUCCUUAUGAUCACUGCAUUCUUCACAUAUUCACAGUGAGUUUCCAAGUUCCCUUUUGCCAGAUGGCGAUUAAGAGACUACUGGAACUGACAAAAAUAAAACUAUCACACAUUGCAAUACAAAGAAAACAAAUCCGUAGCUUUUUACUACUAUGGAACUCAACCAUCUAAAAUAUACAAUAUUCAUUUUCCAACACUCCAAACACUUAUUCAAAACGAAACCCAUCAUCAAUUUUUUUUUUUUUAAAGUAAUAAGGGCCACCGUUAUAUAUAAUCAAGAAUCAAUAAGUUCCCUGCACUAACUAUUACAAACUUACUGUCAAAAACAUUAAUAUAAUGAAAGGCCAACAGGUCUUUACAGCCAUCCAUUUUCAAUAACAAAUUGAAUCUUGAGGUGAACAAAUUACAAGCCUUUUCUGGAAAAUAAGAGGAAAUCGGCACCAAAACCAACACGCCAAUUACCACUGAUUCAUAAUUAUCUUCGACAGCAGUACACAUUCCUCACAGACAACGCAAGCAGCCACGGAACAUAUGUUUCCAGCGUGGCCACCGGGGUAGCGCUUUUCAACCAAUGUCUCAAACCUAAUGCGUCCUUCUUUCUCAAUUUUCAUCCUUAAUCAUACUGAUGAACCAGGCACCGAUUAGGAAUGAGGAGGAAGAGAAUUCCUCGCUUAAGAUCUUCGAUUAAGUGCUCCAGGUCCUUGUGAGCGGAUUCUCUUCCAAACAUGAAUCGCUACUCGACAACACAACCAACAUCAAAUCCGUACCUGAGGACGACUGUGCUUGUGCCGCUGUUGAUCAUUGCCAAAAAAAGAUCUGCCCAUGCUUGUACCGCCUUUGAUCGUUACCGACGAAGGAGAUCAGCCCGUGCUUGUGCCGCCGUUGAUCGCCAUGGAAGAAGAAGAGGAGAGGUGAGGUGACCUUUUUCUUUUUGGCUAAGGAGAGUCGUUUUAGAGUGAUUUGGGUUUAAGGGAUUGGGGGGCUGCGGAACCAAUUUGGAAGGAGUUGGGGAUUUUGGGGCUGAAUGUUUUCAUUUUUUUAAUUUUGUUUUUACUGCAUAUCACGUGAAAAACACGUGAGACUCAUUAAAAUUUCAAAACACAAUUAAUGUUCUGUAGACUGCUUAAAUAUUGAUGGGGUGUAGAGUUGUAACCAGUUGAUUAAUUUCCAAUACAACUGAUAUAACAGCAUUCUGGGGUCGUACGAGAACAAACAUGUGGGAAAAAUUCAUCUAGACAAUUAGUGGAGCCGCACUUUCAAUCAAAUUGUUAUCAUGAACAGCAAUUCAUGAGUAAAUUGUUAUUCAAACUAUAGGUAGCUUACACAAACUUAAAUGGCUUUCAAGUAGAAGCAAUGGCGGUGCUGGAAAUUCAAUACAAUCAAUCCAGGAGGAGUUAAGUUGAAGUAGUAAUAUAAUUUAAAAAACUUUUGAUAAGAUAAUAAGUACCAAAUUUUUAAAAUUUCAUUGAAAUAUUUUCAUGCAAUCAAUUUAAUUACGGCCAUCUUCCAUAUGUUUUCAUAUUUUAAAUUGUUGAAUCAUAAUUAAACUCAUUAUGAACACCACAAACAACUAGGUUAUCAUUGUCUAAUAGAGUAUAUUAGCAGUUAUCUUACAAUAUACUUUCAAGUUUGACCCAUACAUAAAAUAAAAUAAAUAUUUUUCCCCCGUAAGAGCGUCAAAAACUUAACACAACUUCAAAGUGAUUUAUAACUCUCAAGUAUAAAAGUGUGUUGUUAUGAAAUAAAUUGAUCAAUCCGAGGUCGAUCCAUAGAGAAAAAUUUUAAUUUUUUAUUUCUUUUUAAUUUAUCAAAAAAUUAGAAUUUAAAUUCACACUAUUUAAUUUAAGUGAAACGAUGGAAAUAAAUUAUUUAGGAUUGUGGAUUCACUCUUACCAGUAAACAUAAUUUAGUAACUUCUUUUUCUUUUAUUUUUUUAUUGCUCAAAAGAUUAAUUGUAUAAAUUAUCAUUAUUUUCCAUUAAUUUUAUUAUGGAUUAAGUGUGUCGAAAUUUAAUCUGUCUACAAUAAGUUAAAAUACCAUUUUACCAUACUUUGUACUAAGAUAUUAAGAAUUUAUUGUACCAAAUUCCCUUAUUUGUCUACAAUACAUCACAAUUUCAUAAUAUAAAAUAUAUUGAUACAUUAUUAACAAUAAUUAUUAAUAAUUAUAAUUUUUGAAUAAAUAAUCACAAUAAUUAAUAUAUUAUUUUAAUUAAGUAAUUAAUAUUAAUAUUAUUAGUUAAUAUAUUUUUAUAAUAAUUUUUAUUAUAGUUAUUAUAAUUAAUUAAAAAAAUUUACAAUUAAUUAAUAUAUAAGUUAAUAAUUAUUAUGACAAUAAUCCAUUAAGUACUUUUUAGUAAUUUGUUACAAUCUAAUUCAUUCCGAUUCCGAUUCCAAGACAAAGUAAACACUUUUAGUAAUUUGUUACAAUCUAACUCAUUCCGAUUCUAAUUGUAGGACAAAGUAAUUGCAAUCCAGCUCAUUUCGAUUUCGAUUCUUACAGUUCAAGUAAACAACUUAUUCUGAUUCUCAUUACUUAUUUACAUUCCAGCGCAUUCGCAUUUCUAUCCAUUCUGAUUCCAGCUCAUUUCGAUUUCAGUUUAGUAAACGCAACAUACUCUACGAAAAAUCAUUCCUAAUUUAAUAAUUUUUUUCCCUCUUACUUAUUUCCGAAGUUAUUUUCUUCGUCUUCCUAACUUUUCUCUAAUUCUGAAUCCCUUAAUGAUGAGGGGAAAAAGAUUACGAAAGUCAAACUGAUUAAAGCUAAACAUAUAAAUAUUAGAAUCCAAACUUUCCGUGCCCAAAUUCCGUUGAAUAUGAAAUACAUAAAAUUAGCAAAUUGACUACAUCAAAAAAUUAAAAAAAUAAAAAUUCAUCAUGUAAAAAUCUUAUUUAACUCCUAGUUUCAUUACAAAAUCGUUCACAAGUUAAUUGAUAUCCGUAUUGGGUGAUAAAAGCUCAAGCAUUUUUAAUAAGGAAAGCUCAAAAGAAUUUCAUAAGAAAUCACGUACCAAUGAAAAUCAAUGCAGGGAAACAAUUGAGCUAUUUUCCUAGAGCGUAUAACGCUGAUGACAAUGAGGAGAAUCACUUAAUUAACGUUUUGAAAUAGCAACUUGGUUUAGAUCUACAAAGCCACUUGCUAUAUGAAAGCGUAUAUAAUCAUAAUUAAUUAGCGAAAAGCACAUUGUAAUUAUCUGAAUUAAGAAAUCAACGCUUCAACUAAUCUACAAGGGCAUUGGCCAGGGGCAACUGAAGAUGGUUGAAUGAUUAAUUACUUUAAACAAAAAAUAAGUCCAAAUCUAUGAAUAGAAUUUUCCUUUCUUUAUACAUAUUCAAUUAUAACAAACGAUUAUUAAAUUACUCCCAACGAAAGGAUUAGGUUUGUCAUUAUUGCAAUUAAACAAGAUUCUCAUUUUCUCUCGUCGCGUGCAUUGCAAGUUGCAACAAAAAUGCUCUGCCGAUUUGACGCCGGUGUAAUUGUAAGCUAAACUUCUCUUGUUAAGUAAAACAAAUACAUGUUAGCAAAGGAACAAAAGUUCGUCAAUUUGGACAUUGACAACCAAACAACCAAAUUUUUUUUAGUAAAAUCUCUAUUUAUAGAAGCUUUAUUGACGAAUACUCUAUUUAAAUAAGCUCUACUUGAAAAGUUAUACAAAACAUAUAACACCCCAAAUCUCCGAAGAAGGAGGUUACUUACAAAUCGUAAUCCUUACUUAUAAAUUCCAAACUCAAAUACCUCAAAUUCUUAUUCAAAUAAAUCCACAAAUUCAUACGUCUAACACUAAAUAAUCUCUUCCAAAACAUAACAAUAACAAAAGUCUCAAACUCCAAAUUACAAGUUCAUAACAGAAAUAAACUAAAAAGAAACAUGAGUCUAUUCCUCUUCUUAUUCAAAUAGCAAACGGAAACGAAAUCUCUAACUCCAAAGCUACGCAUACCUCUUAAAAGGAACUUAAUCUGCAAAAAGUAAUAACGAGGGGUGGGCCGUCAACUCGGUAAGUAAAAUCAUUCCUAAUACACUAGGCCUAUCGAUAUCAAAAAUAUUGCAAGCCUUCUUUUAUUCAAAAACAUAUAUUAUAACUCAUAAACUUCAUAAAACAACAUAUUUCAAUUAUAUAACAUAAAUUCAUGGUAAUUCAGAGUAUCAAAAGAAUAAUCCAUUAUGAAAGCAAAUCGUAUAAAGUGUACACAGAAGGUAGAUAGUUAGCUCAUGUCACAUAGUGUCACCUAUAGUCUCGGUGACCCGACCAGAAACAGAAUCAGAAUAUCGUGUGCAAACUUAGAACAGAAACCUAGUACUAGUCCAGAACAAAUAUAUCGUAUAAUACGAUCAGAAUUAGAAUCAGAAUAACUACGGACAAUGAGCCAAAACAUAAUGACUUAUACGUGGCACUUUGCACUAUAUGUGGCACUUUGUGGCGCUUUGGCCCUCAAGAGGUGGCCCCCAUAUAGUCUCAAGAGGUGGCCCCCGUACAAUCAUAAAUAAUUAAAAUCAUACAUAGGCACAAAACAUUCAUAUUAGAUUCAUGAAAGUCUAUAGCAACAAUUUAGGCUUGCAAAAAUAUUUCAUAGACAAAAUUAUAAAAGGCAGUCAUGUCAUAAAAUAAUUUACAUAUUAAAAAGCAUUUAUAAAAUAUUUUAUCAAAAGAAUUCAGAUUUGAAAACAUUUUCAUAAACUGAUUUUGGUAUGAAAAUCUAUUAAUCUUCUAAGAAGUAUAAAAACUCUUAUAAUAACAUCAAAAUACUUAUACAUAUCCAGUAUAUUAGGAAUGAAAUUACUUAUCUCGACAAAACAAUUUGAAUUAACACACCUCUAAACCUCUAAGAGCCUCAAUCACCUCAACACCAAUCGCUUUGAUUCUCUCAUAAGCAAAGGUUUGAAUCCUAGGGUUUGGGUAGGAGCGUAAAGAGUAGCAGAGAAGAAGAAGAAUUGUCGUGGACUUCGAGUUAUGGAAGGGAAAAAAAUAUUAAUUUAUAGGGAGUCUUAAGAAACCCUAUUGAAUUUGGAAAAAUAACCAUUUCCUAAAAAUUAUCCCAUGAAGAACCCUUUUUAUAAGGGCAGUAACACCAUUUAUAAAUUUCAUUAAAAAAUAAAUCAAAUAAUAGAAAUUUGGGCGUUACAAAACAGAACCACAGUAUAAUUACAAAUUUCCUAACUUAGCUACAUUAUUAUGAACCGUAGCGAUUAAAGCAAAUACUAUUGACUUGAGCAAGCACUUUUUGUGUUUCUUUAUAAGUGUGUACAUGUACCAAACAAACUAUUACUAAAACCAAAAAAUCUCUCUUUAAAUUAAUAAAUAUUUAUUUAUCAAUAAAUUAAUAAAUUAUUCAUUCAAUAAUAAAUAUAUAACUUAUCUAAAAUAAUAUUUUUUCUUAGGCCUAAUAAUAUUAUUUCAUAGACAUUUUUCUUACAUUUUCUGUGCAAUAAUUAAAAAAAUUAUAUUUUUUAAAAUAUAGUUACAAUCUAGAUACAUAUACAUUUAUUAUUAAAAUUACUUUAAUAUGAUAAAAUAUGUAAUAACAGAUUGUAAAAUACAUAAAAAAAAUUUCAUGCUUGUCAACAAAUAUGUUUUUUUCCUUGAAAACCAAAUUAUUUUUUAUGUCAAUAACAAUUGUCUAACAGAAUAAUCUUUGCUUUCUGGUGUUUAAAACCACUCUUUCCAUUUCAAAUGUAAUUCAGCAUUGAAGGCAAUUUGAUCUUAAAAUAUUUUUCUAAUUUAUGAUUCUUUAUAAUAAUUAUUAUGUAAUUUAUCAUUAUUGUAAACAUUAUGUAUGAGUUUAUUUACCGAGUUGAUAGAUCACUCUUUAUUUCCAACAUUUUGUAGAUAGAUUUUAAAAAUAUAAGUUUUUUUAGUUUAGACAAAAAGAUUUGUUAGUUGAAAACUUGGAUAUUUUCUUUGAUGAAUAAAUUAUUGCUACUUCCGUUAUUGUUUACAAAUGAAUUUGUUUUGGAAGAAAAUCAGAGGGAAAAACAUCGUAACUGCAGCCAAGCUUUCCAUUUCAAAUGUAAUUGAGCAUCGAUUCAAUAGUCAAUAUUUUUCAUUUCAGCUGUCUUUUGGGGACAAACUUAAGCAAAAUCUUCCUUUUAAGUUUUUGGAUUGAGCAAGCCUUUUGUAGCUUUAAUUACAGUUUUGAUUAGAACUACAUUUUAGUUUUGUUCCUGCAUGUAUGGUUUGGCUGAAUUUGCAGUACAUAUAGAUGAAAUUUGCCUCGAGUGAGUUGUGCAUCAAUGUGAUUGUGAUCAAGUGACACUCUUUCUUUAAUAGCCAAUUCAGCACUUGAGCUACGUUCUCUUAUCCUUUAUUCAUUUUCCACCCACAAUUACUUCACUGAGAUUGGAUCAAUAAUGCCUCCGCGAAUUCAUUAACAGCAAGACUAUAUAAACUGUAAGGUAAAGAAAUUUAUACUAGCACGUCGCAACAGAGAAACAAAGAAAGAUCACUCUAUAUUCUCAAAGAAGAGCUAACACUAUCUUACAUUCAACUGUUGAUGCAACCAUUGGAGUUACAUCAAUAAUUGGAGUAGUCCAGAUAAGAUCGCUAAUGUUAAAAAUAAGUGGCUCAUAGAAAGACAAUGACCAGUAAUGAACAUAACUUAUUGGGUCCACUUCAAAAAGCAAUUGUUCAAUUUCCAUCAACUUUGUUUGAUAGGGUAGAUGUGGGAUGGAGAUUUGUGAAAAUAGCGGGGGCUGCAGAUACUAGAUGGAUUAAAGGAUCGAAAAUGAAUAAAGUGGAAAAAUCAAGAUAAGAUGGUUUGGUGGAUGCAUUUUUUGAAUUACAAACAAAAAAUACAAAAUUGAAUACUUCUUGGUUUCCACUUUUUUCAUAAAGGUAAAGAAUGUAAAAUUAACCUUCUCUCAUGAUAUUUCUCAUCGAAUUCCUCAAAAAUAAAAUAAAUUGUUGGAAAAAUAAUACCUACAUCCUUAAAAUUUUAAAAAAUUAUCAUUUAAACCUUAAAAUUUUCAAAAAAUAACACCAAAAUCUUUUAUUUAACUAUGAUACCUCUUGAAUAUACUGACUAAAAAAUUGACUUUAAAAAGUUUUAAUCAAUAUGAAUAUAAUAUAAAUAAUAAAAUCAAUGUAGUAGGCUAAUAAUAUUAAAGUAUUUUUAAUAUUUAAAAUAAUACUAAAAAUUUCAAAUUAUGAUAUUUAUUUUAAUCUUAUAUUUGUGUUUAUUAUAAAGCUUUUAAAUAAACUUUUGGGUUAAAAAGGUUUUAAAAUUAACAAAAUGUCUUCCUAUUAAUAAUAUUAAAAUUAUUUUUUAUAAUAUUUAAAAUAAUUUAAACUUUAAUUUAUUUAUUGUAAUAUUAUGUUUCUAUUUAUUAUUAAAAUUACUGUAAUAUGAUAAAAUAUGUAAAAUAAAUUGUAAAAUUUAAAAAUAUUUUCUUGCUUGUCAACAAAUGUUUUUUUUUCCCCGGAAACCAAAAUAAAAUUAUGUCAAUAUCAAUUCAUUAACAGAACAACCUUAGCUUUCUGAUGUUUAAUACUACUCUUGUUAACAUGAAUAUGUUAAUAAUAUUGAUUUUGAUGAUAACAAACUUUAAAUGGUUUUUGAUUAAAAUGUUGGAGCUAUUCCUUAAUAAAUGAAAGCCUUAUAAUCAUUCCAAUCAUAUUCAUAAAAGAUGGACUUUCAAAUUAGAAAAUGACUCUCUGCAAAAUCUGGUUUAAAAUGUGAUUAUGAAAAUAAACGGUGAUCGUUUUCUUUCAAACGGUUAACCAAUUAAAACCAGAGAGCAACAUAUUGCCUAAGCUCUAACCGAUUAUGAAAAACGGAAAACACAAAAAGCUGGGAAGGCUACUGGAAUUUAACGGUGAACCGUUUAUUUAAACGGUUAACCGAUAAAAUCCAGAAUUGAAGGUUGUACUCUUCUGGCACCGUUUAAUAAAACCGGAUAAGGCUAAAUUAUUUUGCAGGUUACUGGAAACAAACGGCGAACCGUUUAUUACAAACGGUUAAUCGAUAAUAUCCAGAGAAGUCACUUCAUGCAAAUCCUUAACCGUUUAAUGUAAACGGAUAACUGAUGUUCAUCUUGCAGGUCUUUGGAAUUUAACAGCGAAAGGAUAAUCCUAAACGGCAAACCGUUUAUUUGAAAUUUGGCCCAACGGUAACUUUUGACCAGCCUAAACGGUUAACCGUUAAUGGUUAACGGCGAACCAUUUUCGGGCCGACAGUUUGUAACGGCUAGUUUUUCAGCUCCAAAUAUAAAUAAGCUCAUUCAAAUUCAAACAAGAUUGAUCACAACAUGACUAUUGAGCUUAUACUCGAGAAUACAAUCUUCAUAGAGCUUUGAACACAUAUCUUCCCUUAUCUUUUUUUAUUGUGAUCACCUUAUUUGUUAUUGCUUUGAAUUUGGUUUAUAUUUGCAUUAAGUUUUUCUUCAUAAAUUGAAUAAUUUAUAGAAUUCCCAUUCACCCCCUCUUGGGUUGCAUAACUAGAAUUUCAACUCUUUCCUUGCCCAAAAAUUCAAAAAAAUUUAAUUAAUCCUGUUUCUGGGCCUGCGGCAGUUAUGCCAUUGAAGGGUAUUUGAUAUUAAAAUAAUUUUUUUAAUGAAAAAUUCUUUAAAUUAAAAUAGAAACAAUUGAUUUGAGCACCAUCAAUCAUGUCAUGGUAGUAAUUAAAUAAGAUAAAGAUUGGAUACCUCUUCUUUUCAAAAGGCAAGCGUCUUGGACUUUUCGCUAAAUGAACGCGUAUCAAUUUUUUGAGUUAAAAAUGAGCAAUAAUGUCGUAUUUGUGUAAUUUAGCCACAUCGCCAGUUCCUUGGCAUCUUCCCUUCAAAUUCUCCCAUGGCGUUUAAUUUUACACCAGUAACCACUUUGAGAUAGAACCAAUCCUUUUAAUAUUUCUUGGAGCAAAAAACAAUACCUCUGGGUGCUACAGAGAGAAGGAGAUAUGCUGGACGUCCACCUCCGACUGUUUUGUGAGAGGUUGGAGAGGGUGUUAGCAGGUGAAGAAGGCACGUUGCCGCUGCCAGAUUCAACAAAUUUAACUCCACUUUUUCAAAACCUUCUUACGGAGUCCGAAAUUAUUGCUACUACUCUUCUGGGAAACUAUGAAGCUGACAUGGCUCGGCUUUCUCCAGCAUUUAAACGGAGGAUGACCCUUCUUUCUACAAUGUUUGCAAGGUGGAUAGGAUUUCUUCUGAUUUUCAUUCUUUUCUUUUACAUUCGCAGAUGUUGUACUUGCCCCAUUUCCUUCAAAGUCCUUCUUCUUUGUUUUGUUUUUGGCCAUGUUCUGAUGUUUGGCUGCUAAAGCUCCUUCGGUUGUUGUAUCCCCCCUCAUCAGUCUUCUUUGUUCUGGUGCUUGUAAUGCGUUAAGCAAUUCUGCCAAGGAAAUCUUUGACAAAUCCUUGGUAUUUUCAAAGGUAGUGAUAGUUGCUUCAUAUCUUUCAGGUACUGUAACAAGAAUUUUUUGUACAAUUCUUGAGUCAGUAAAUUCAGAUCCAAGAAGCCUCACCUUGUUUGCAAUACUAAGAAGUCUGUCGGAGUAAUCUUUGAUCGUCUCGGAGUCCUUCAUUCUUUGAAGUUCAAACUCCCUGAUCAAAUUCAGGACUUGCAUACCUUUAAUUCUUUCAUCUCCUUCAUAUUCGCUCUUGAGAUAAUCCCAUAUCGCUUUUGCUGACUUCAAAGAGCUGGGCUUUCAGUGGUUGCAAUUCCCGACAGCCAUGGCUUUAAUAAGACUGCUUUUGCUGCACAUACUUAUAACAGUUAUCAUGUCAAGUUCUAUUUUGACUCUUACUUGGGUCAGGGUUUCUCUAGGCUAUGAUUACGGCAAGAUAUUGGAUGGCAUAAUCAAGUCUGUGAUGCCUCCAGCUCGGAUUAGUGUAAUUAUCGGUGAAGAUUAUCAAUUGAAGAAAUCUAUUCUUCGAGAUUACCUAACAAACAAGAAGUACUUUAUUGUGCUUGAUGUCGUCUUCAAUGACCGUGAGAUAUGGGAUGAUCUCGAAGAAGUUCUCCCUGAUAAUGAGAAUGGAAGCAGAGUAUUAAUAUUGGCCGCUGAUCCAGACCUCCUUGAGUCGUUGGAAAUGGAAAAUGGAGAGAAGAUUCGGCAUGGUUCAGUGCUCGUUGGAGGACCAUUGAUUAGACUAAAGCAUGAGGCCUGGCAAUUUUUCAUCCUGCACUAUGGAAGUAUGCCAUUAGAAAAUUAUCUUCAAAGCGAAGCGAUUCCGACAGUAUGGAGACAAAUUUUCUCUGUGAUGGAGUUACCUUUUCACUUGAAAGUCUGCUGCAUCUAUUUGUGUGUCUUCCGUCCAAGUAUUGAGAUAUCUACGAGGCAAUUAUAUCAGUUGUGGGUAGCUGAAGGUUUCAUGCCAUACAACGGUGAAGAAACUGCCGAACAUUACUUGAAAGAACUAAUCCAUUGCGGCUUCAUUCAAGUGAGUAAGCGAGGAGCCGGAGGCACAAUUAAAGCGUGUUAUGUUCCAAGUUUUGUAUAUACUUCAUUGGGUUUGGUGGCAGAGAAGACGAGAUUUGUCUGAAUGCCUGCAUGGGUAGGGGAAUCAAUUGAAAAUGCUAAACGGUGCUUCAUUUUGAAAGAUCUGAUUGACUUCUUUCCUUUAGAAUAUUCUAACAUGUAUCUCCAAUCUUUUCUGAAUCACAGUUCAGAAAGCGAUCGUCUCGCUCUGAUAGAUUGCGAGAAUUUUUGUAAAAAUUUCAAACACCUUCGGGUAUUGAAUUUGGGUUUUGCAGUUCUCGACCAAUUUCCACCCGGAUUAGAAAAUUUAUUCCUUUUGAAGUAUUUGAAAUUGAAUAUCCCUUCGCUCAAAUGCCUUCCUUCGCAACUAUGCACCUUUUUAAGCCUUCAAACACUAGAAAUGCCAUCUAGCUACAUAGAUCAGUCACCAGAGGAUAUUUGGAUGAUGCAAAAACUCAUGCAUCUAGACUUCUGAAAGAAAACGUAAACUCUACUGAUCUGUACUGUUUGGUUACUAAGAAAAUCUGCUCUGUUUUACUGAGAAAACUUCAGAGCAUAUACUGGUUUUUUUUAUUUCUUCUUUUAUGAAUUCUCAAAUGAGUACAAAGCACACCUUUUAUACAUUUGUUAACAGAAAGGAAAACUAAUCAGAAUAAAAUCUCAGCAAGCCUUAACUAACUUUGCUGAGCUGGCAUUGCUUACUUAACUAACUUCAGCUCAGCAAAUUCUCCCACGUGCUACGGUUCCAUCACUCUGCCUGCACAUCCAAAAAAUUAUUCCAGCUCUUUGAAGAAUCUCAUUUUCGUAUCAGCCUUACACCCUAUUAGUUGCACCCCAGCUAUAUUGGGUAGACUACCAAAUGUCCAAAGUCUAAGAAUAUCUGGAGAUUUGAGUUACUAUCAAUCUGGGCUUUCCAAAAGUCUAUGCGAACUGCACAAAAUUGAAUGCUUGAAGCUGGUGAAUGAGAGCAAGCGCUCACGGAUUAUCCUAUCUGAAUACCAAUUUCCUCCAAGUCUGAGCCAUCUGAGCUUAUCGAAUACUGGGCUAAUGGAGGAUCCCAUGCCAAUGCUGGAAAAGCUUCCACGCCUUCAAGUGCUGAAACUGAAGCAGAACUCGUAUUUAGGAAGAAAGCUGGCCUGCGUUGGCUCUGGUUGCUUUCCGGAACUUAAGGUUUUGCACCUGAAAUCAAUGUAUUGGCUAGAUGAGUGGACGAUGGGGGGAGGAGCAAUGCCAAAACUUGAAAGCUUAAUUGUCAACCCAUGUGCUUACCUGAGAAAGCUUCCAGAAGAGCUGUGGUGCAUAAAGAGCUUGCGCAAAUUGGAUUUACAUUGGCCUCAGACAGAGUUGAGACAAAGACUACGGACUUUCGAGGAUAUGGAGUGGCGGUAUGACAUCCAGUUAUAUCCUUACGGAAUCUGAUGGAUUGAAUUGGGUGAGUUUUAAUCUUAUCUGAUAUCUCAUACUUUAGUUGCCCUUUUUUUUCCACUUUCUCAGUAGAUCUAUGUUUAUUGUAAAACCUUCAAAGGGUCAUACAAAUGAAAAAUUCAUUUAUGAUUCUUAUUUCCCUUCACUUGUGUAGGCAAAAUCGGAGAGGGAAACAACAGGGCGUCGUUUCAUUUAGCAGAUUUCAAGGAUUUGCUAUAACUGAUGCGAUGGUUGCAAUAUUGUCUACAAACUUGAAUUGUUGUACUCCUUUUUCUAUUUUUCGAAUUUGCUGGCAUGUAUGUAUGUAUGUAUGUGUGUAUAUUGUGUUUUAGUUACUGUUUUAUGCUUAGAAGUACUCCAUUUAAGCCGCGGACCUGCAGGUAUGGUUUCGCUAGCUUUGGACUUGUAUGACUUGUAUGGCUAGUUUUGGACUUAUCAUUGUCUAAUAGAGCAUAUUUGCAGUUAUCUAAAAAAAAAAUUGUUAUUUUUUUAAAUAUAAUUGCAAUCUACAUACAUAUACAUCUAUAAUGCUGGUCUAAUUGUUCUUGUUUCUAAUGUCAAAAUUAUAGCCACGGACAUUGCUGCAGAGAAACAAAGAAACCUCUGUAUUGUAAUAAGUAAGAACAGUGUAAUAGCAGAUUUUCAUUUGUGAUUCUUAUUUUCUUGUACAUGUUUAGGUAAAAUCAGAGAGGGAAACAUCACCUGCCAGACCUUCAAUAGUUCAAUUUCAACUGUGAUUCAGCAUCCAUCAAUUCUUUCUUUGUUUCUGCUGUCAAUUCAUAAGUUCUCAUAAGGCUGGGCAUCUUUUUGUUCAGUAGAUUUCGACGACGCCAUGGCUACAGUAUUGUCCACAAACUUGAAUCAUUUUUUUUUUUUAAUUUAGUGGGUAUGUAUAUUGUAUUAUUUAUUUGUUGUGUGCUCAGAAGUACUGCAAGUUAAGCCCUGGAAAAUGUGAGAAGAAAAAGAAAUUAAACUAGAUUACACGAUAUUAGCAUAUUGUUCUUUGCUUGAACCAAGUUCUUCUUUGCUUUAGCUUUUGUUAAGAUGCUGUCUUAACCUUCCUCCUUUUUCUUAUUGCUAGUUUGAUAUCUCUUAUCUUUUCUUGAACCAAGAUAUUUCCCUUAACUUACAAGUAAAGUUCAAAUGCUCUUUCUCUUUUCUCUUAACUUCGGUUUACUUAUGCAAUCAUUUUCAAUUCUACCAAAACCAUCCAUUUAUCAAUACCCAAAUUGUUCUACAUUCUAAUUUUGUUGUGCCUUCCAACUUAUAUUUGAUUGUGUUGCUUAUAUCGUCCGAAUAUCGAAGUCCUUGAUUACUCAAUAUAACAACAGCAGGUACUUCAAUUAUUAUUCAAAAGUUAUAUUUCUUUUUUCAUUUUCAUGUGUCAAAAUCAUCACCACGCAUGCAAUUUAUUUUGUAAAAAUCAUCACUCACAUACUCCUCGUUUCUAAAUUACUUUUUUUAAAAGACCAAAGUUGAAUUAUGUCAUUAUAAACUCUUGAACAGAACAAUCAUCAUCCUUCAUAUUAAUGUUCUUUGUCAGACAGAACUAACAAUCCUUUAUCAUUUGUUGAUGGAGAUUUUCUGCAUUGAUCAACUUAAUAGUUAUGAAAACCAUCCCCUAACCCCAAAGCAACAAAAGAAUCUACAACCAAUCAGCAUAAAAUUAUGUACAACUAUACAUUUCUUAUUAAUUUAUGCAUGUAGUGAUGUUUUGAAUCAUAUCAGAGAAUCGUUUAUAUUUAUUAAGACUCAAUGUACAUGCACUUUGUAGUAUCGCCCAGAGAUCUGCCAAGCAUUAGCUUAGAAAUCUACUCUGUCCAAAUUCAAAGAAAUUAGCCUGGGUCAUAUUUAAAUAAAUAAAUAUAAGGCUGUUCUCAUCACAUUUGAACUUAUUUACAAGCAUAGCUCUUGAUAUUUAAAUAUAUAUAUAUAGCUGUUAAAUAGAUAAUAAGCAUAGAUCUUCACCUUUAGAUGGUUGCAAUAUUGUCUACAAAGUUGAAUAGUUGCACUCCUUUUCUAUUUUUUAUUUGCUGGUACGGCUUCAAUUGGCCUAUCUCCUCUCAUAAUAUUUCUUUCAUUCAUAACUAUUGGAUAAAGAUUAGAAUUUGAUCAAUGAAAAAAAGAUAAACAAUUACCAAUUCUAAUUGAAAUGCCAUUGUAUUUUCUUAAAUUUCAAUUUCUGGUUUGAGUUUGAUUUAUGUGAUGGGAAGUAGAUGGCUGUGGUUCAUUUUGUGGUUGUGAUUCAGUUUGUUGUUGUGUUGGUGACAAUGGUAUGGUUGAUGAGGAAUGUUCUGAUAUUGUAGUUUGAGAAUGCUCUUGUUGAUGCAGAUUAUUUGUGUGUGUAGAAACAGAAGGUACCUGUUCACUGCUCUCUGUACUUGCUGAUUGAAGAUCUUCCAAGCUGCUGUCAGUUAAGGAUAAUGUGGAGAGAUUAUAAAUUUGUUGCUGGGAAAAGUUUGACACUGAUAAUUCAGAAUUUGAACUGUUCUCAGAUGAAUGAAAUACUUUGUUAGUUGAGUAAGGGAAUGUAUUUUCAUCAAAGAUAACAUGCCUUAGGAUAUGAAUUUUUCCUGAACUUGUUAAACACUUGUAACCCUUGUAAGAAGGAUUAUAGCCAAUGAAGAUGCAUUUGGUGGUGUGAAAAUCAAAUUUGUGUUUAUUAAAAUCUCUCAUAUAUGGAUAACAUAGGCAACCAAAACACUUAAGAAAAGAAUAAUCUGGUUUGUGUUUAUAAAGCUUUUCAUAAGGAGAUAAAAGCUUAAGAACAGGUGUUGGUAACCUAUUAAUAUGAUAUGCUGCUGUGUGAACAGCUUCCCACCAAAACUGAAAAGGGAGACUAGCUUGAGCUAAGAGUGUCAAUGCUAAUUCAAUUAUGUGUCUGUGUUUCCUCUCAACAAGACCAUUCUGGUGAUGAGUAUAAGGGCAUGAAUGUCUAAACUUGAUCCCAUUUUGAUUGAGAAAAUCACUGAAUACUCUAAACUCUCCCCCCAGAUCAGAUUGCAAUUCCUUAAUCUUGGUAUUAAACUGAUUUUCAACUUGUGCCUUGAACAAUUUGAAGACUUCAAAUGCUUGUGAUUUAAGCUUAAGUGGAUAGAUCCAGGUGUAUUUAGUGUAAUCAUCCACAAAACUAAUGUAAUACUUGUAUCCAUUUCUGGAUACAGUGGGUGAAGAUCCCCACAAAUCAGUAUGAAUAAGUUCUAAUACCCCUUUUGUUUUUGUUUCAGUUGCUGGAAAACUUUGCCUGUGAACUUUGCCUAACUGACAUGCCUCACACAAAGAAUUUGUACAAUCCACAAUAUCUUUAUGAGAGAAUUUAAAUUGCUUGCAAGACUUAACUAAAUGCAUCAGAAUCAUUGAACUUGGAUGACCAAAUUUUCUAUGUAACAAAGUCAUUACAUCAGAUUUGGUUUUGCAUUUAUUAGAAACAUAAUGAUAACAAGCUUUAGAAGGACUAUCAAAGCUUUGAAAGCUAGACAACAUUGAGAUAGGUUUAUUUAGAUCCAUUUUUGGGAUCCAUUUUCUGUAAUUCUCUUUCCAUCUUGUAUUUUCUUCGUAUUUUAAUAAAUUUCCAUUUUGCCCCUAGUUCAAUUAUGAGUGGCUAAUUUUCUUUCAAGUUUGGGUUGAAGUUGAAGUCUCAACAUGUGUCAUGGGCUUUAUUUGGUAAAUUUAUUUUCUCUUCCCUUCUAGUUUUUGUGGAUGUUUUGACUUCUCGUCGACAAAUAAUAAUAGUCUUGUCUAGAUACCGCUUUGGUUAUACCGGCUCUCUAGUAUAAGGUUAUUAUUAUUUGGCACGAUAAGCCCUUAGCACCAUAUUGAUUUGAGCGUGGUUCAUGAGGUGUGGAUUCCCCCCUCAUGAUUUAAUUGGCAUUAAUAAGGAUUAUUUAGCCCAUGAUGCAUGUUGAUACGGAUCCAGAUACCCAAGUACGUCAUUUCAAUAGAAUUCUCUUCAAUUUAUUCUCGCCAUUUCAAUUCCAAUUUCAGAAUUUAUUCUUGCCAUUUUAAUUUAAGUUUUAGCAUAUUCCAAAUCAUUUCCACCACAGAUCCAAUCAACCAUUUGCAAAAUUAAUUCUAUACACAAUUAAAAUCCACCUCCUCGUGGGAUCGACACUCGUCACUAUUGAUCUAUACUACAAUAGAUUCGUGCGCUUGCGAGUACAUUAAAAUUUGCACAACACUUCCCACCAAAACUGAAAAGGGAGAUUAGCUUGAGCUAAUAGUGUCAAUGCUAAUUCAAUUAUGUGUCUAUGUUUCCUCUCAACAAGACCAUUCUGGUGAUGAGUAUAAGGGCAUGAAUGUCUAAACUUGAUCCCAUUUUGAUUGAGAAAAUCACUGAAUACUCUAAACUCUCCCCCCAGAUCAGAUUGCAAUUCCUUAAUCUUGGUAUUAAACUGAUUUUCAACUUGUGCCUUGAACAAUUUGAAGACUUCAAAUGCUUGUGAUUUAAGCUUAAGUGGAUAGAUCCAGGUGUAUCUAGUGCAGUCAUCCACAAAACUAAUGUAAUACUUGUAUCCAUUUCUGGAUACAGUGGGUGAGGGUCCCCACAAAUCAGUAUGAAUCAGUUCUAAUACUCCUUUUGUUUUUGUUUCAGAAGCUGGAAAACUUUGCCUGUGAACUUUGCCUAACUGACAUGCUUCACACAAAGAAUUUGUACAAUCCACAAUAUCUUUAUGAGAGAAUUUAAAUUGCUUGCAAGACUUANNNNNNNNNNNNNNNNNNNNNNNNNNNNNNNNNNNNNNNNNNNNNNNNNNNNNNNNNNNNNNNNNNNNNNNNNNNNNNNNNNNNNNNNNNNNNNNNNNUCAUUACAUCAGAUUUGGUUUUGCAUUUAUUGGAAACAGAAUGAUAACAAGCUUUAGAAGAACUAUCAAAGCUUUGAAAGCUAGACAACAUUGAGAUAGGUUUAUUUAGCUUGGUAUGAAGAUGGGAUGAAGAAAAUGAAGAAUAGGGAUUAGAACUCAACAGCAGCUUGUAUAGACCUUUUUCAGCAAGUCCCUGCAGCAGAACUUGUCCCUUCAUGUCCUUCACAAAACAAACAUUCCCACAAAAUUCAACAGUUAUAGGGUUAUCAGAUGUCAGUUUAGAAAUGCUUAGUAGAUUUUUGGUAAUUGAUGGAACAAGUAAUAUAUCCUUAAGUACUAUUCUGGAAUGUGCAGAUAAGGAAUUUGAUGCUCUUUGUGACAGAAAUCCAAAACCAACGUGAGUGAUAGACAAACCUUCACCAUUACCAAUUAUGAGCUGAUCAGUACCUUUAAACUCCUCACUGAUCUGCAAGUUCUCCAUGUUGUUGGUCAGAUGGUGAGUUGCCCCACUAUCCAAGUACCAUCCAUCAUCAGCAACUCCUUCAAAGUUAGCCAUAAAUGCUGCUCCAGGAGUACAAGCAUCAAAACCAGAAUAAUAGCUACUGCCAGACAUAGGAUUAUAAGCUGAAGACAUAUAAUUGAAGUUCUCAUAAUCUUCAAAGUUUGGAUUUGGAGCAGAACCAUCAAAAUUUGACAGAUAUGCUGAUCUGGGUGCUUUUCCUUUUCCAAAACCCCUUGGCAUUGGCACAUAAUCUUCAACAAAUCUAUGCCAACAGAUAUCAGUAGUAUGACCAGAUUUGAAACAAAUCUGACAUAUUGAGUCCACUGGAUUGUUAUUGAAAGCUCCUUAUGAUCCAUUCUUGAUAACAGAUGGUGAACUCCUUGGUGCUAAAGGAUUAUUACCAUUAAAAGGAUUACCAACAGGAUAUCCUCUACCAAAGCCACCUCUAAAACCUCCAUUAAACAUUCUUGGAGAAAGAUUCAUAUUUCCUCUACCAGAGAAAACAUUCCUACCACCAUAAUAACCUCCUCUCCUAAAAUUUCCUCUAGGCUGUGCAUAAUAAACCGUAUGAUGAAAUGAAUUAGUAUAGGCAUUAGUAUAUGCAUAGUUAGCAUUGAACAUACUCUUAUCAUCCUGAUCUUGUUCCAACCUAGUUUCAUGAGUAAGCAAUAACGCAUAAGCAUCAUCAAAUUCCAUGCGUGAACUAGUUAUGAAGGUAGUAAUAUCACGGUAUCCUGAUCCUAAUCCAUUGAGUAUGGUUAGCAUUAGAGAUUCCUUUUUAAGAGUGUUCAGCUCAUAUCUCAGCUGAAGAACUCGAGCUUCAGAUUGAACUCCAAACUUAUUUUCUAAUGUUUUCCAUACACCAGAUGAACUUUCACAGUUAAUAACAAGACUAAGGAUACCUUCACUUAAUGUUGACAGCAGCCAACUAUGUUGUUACUUGAAUAAGAAAAGAAAACAAAGUUUACAAAUGGAAAUGAAAGCCACGUGAAUUGUCAAGAGAACUUCACUCAAUUCAUUAACUGAAAACAUUACACUUUAAAGCUUAAAUAGCACACCAAAGCCAAAUAACAACCCACUAGAAUCAUGGUCCAAAGAUUGUGCCACGAUCACAGCAAGAAUCAACAAAAUAAAUAACCAACACCAGAAAAAUAGGAAAAGUUUGAAACAUUCAACAGAAGCAACUUCUAUGACUCCACAUCAGCAGUCCUAAACACAUCUUCUAACACUCCUCCUUGCUUUAGGAGCUGCAAACACCAAGUUUUGUUAUGAAAAACUCAAACUUGCUAACCGGCAGUGGCUUGGUGAAAACAUCUGCAACCUGAUCUUCUGUUUUGCAGUAGACAAGACUAACAACUCCAUUUUUCUGCACUUCUCUUAAGAAGAAUAAUUUAAUAUUAAAGUGCUUAGUUUUCCCGUGAAACACAGGAUUUUGAGAGAUUGCAAUAGCAGCUUGGUUGUCAACUAGAAUCUCUGUACUUUCCUCCUGCUCCAAGUUAAGAUCAUGAUAACUCUAUAAAAUGAGAGUUAUUAUGACAAUUCUAGACUUAAAUCAAGAUCACUUAGAGAGUAAAUGAUGUGUUUUUAUUGCAUUUUUGUUACAUUUUGCAUAAACAUUCAUUUUAGUUUAGUCUUAAUAAGUUUUGCUUGAUUUAAAGUAAUUCGUGCUCAAAUUGUGUGCAGAAUUGUAGGUUUCCAGAAGCUUAUAAUUCAUGGAAGAAAUGCUGAUGCAAUAGGCUGGCAAAAAAGAGGAAGAACAUGACUAUAAAAGAAUUGAAACAAAUCUGGAACAGUACAGUUGCUGUAGCCGUUGCUGUAGCAAUCCUGGAACAACGACAGAGAAAAUUCCGUGCGGGAUACUUACAGAAUUGCGAUCUGCAGUUUCCUAAUCUGACUUAUGCGUGCCCUAGGCUUCCGUUUACCUUAAUUUUCAACUAUAAAAGAAGCACACAUCAUAAGGAAAAGAGAGAGCCGUCACCCAAGGAGAAAAACACAAAGAAACAAAAGAAAAACAAGAUUCAAGAGAAAGAUUAAGGGCUGCACAAGAGGAGAAUUUGCAUAAAUCAAUUGGGAGCUCAAUCAUUCUUAUUCUUCUCUUGUUUUCAUGUUUUCUAUUUAUUCAUGGGGAUGUGUUUCAUGGCUGAAACUUUGUUCUUUAUUUUUCUUUUGCAAAUCAUGAACUAAAUUUAUUUAUAGUUGAGUGAUAAACAAUCUUGAUGGUUUAUUGACUGGAAAUAUGUGUUGCUGCAUGUUUGCUGUAGCAGUUUGUUUUGAUAGUAUUUAUUUUAUUCGUUAUUUCGGUUGAUCACCCAUUUAAUGAUAAUAGAUAAUGAAGAGUCGUAAAAGGGCCUAUCUUAGUGGAACAUAUCAGAACAAUACUUGAUCUUAAAUUGAGUUUCCCGGAUUGAGUUUUACUUGAGUCCCAAAAGGGCCAUACUUGAUUUAAGAUUAAUGAUGAACUAGACAUAAGGAUUCACCUUGUAGGGUAAAUAGAACCUAAGCGUGUAAUGCUAUAUCUUAUGUUGGCAUAACAACUGAUCACUGUUAGGUUGCAUAUAAAUAUAAGAUAUCCAACAUGUGACAGCUGAGGAUACAUAAGCUGAUCCAUCUUGGCUUCUUCAUAAUUUUUAGGUUCACACACAGCAACAUUGCAUCUUUGGUAAACAUCUGAAAGUGGUCUUGUGCCCCUAAUAGGUCUGUCAUCCACCGUUUCAUUUCCCAAUCUUCAAUGCUUUGAUCUGCUGUGUCCACAACAGGAAACUUGAGUUUUGGCUUUUUUGAGGUUGAAUCCAUCUUCUUUGCAUCAUCCCAAUUCCACUCUUCAUCUUCCAUAAAGUGCACAUCCCUGCUUAUAAUAAUUUUUCCAGUUUGUGGCUGGAAAACUUUAUAAGCUUUUGCAACAGGAAUUUCAUAGUCUUCUUCCACUGCUUCCCAAAGAUCCAAAGCUUCCAAGUAUGUCUCCAUACGUACUGCCCAAAGCUGGUAGUUGUUUCCGUCAAACACCGUCGGAGCAAUUGCGGAGAAACUAGCUUCGGCUUCCAUGACUUGACAAAUUCAAACAUAGAUCCCUUAAGAAGAAAGCUCUGAUACCAGAUGUUGUUACUUGAAUAAGAAAAGAAAACAAAGUUUACAAAUGGAAAUGAAAGCCACGUGAAUUGUCAAGAGAACUUCACUCAAUUCAUUAACUGAAAACAUUACACUUUAAAGCUUAAAUAACACACCAAAGCCAAAUAACAACCCACUAGAAUCAUGGUCCAAAGAUUGUGCCACGAUCACAGCAACUAAGAAGAAUUUGAUCAUGUGAUCUCCAGAUCUGAUACUCAGGAUUCUCAAUUUGUUGUGUAGAUCCAUCAACUCUAGCUAACAAAAUAUUUUCUUCAGGUGCUGAUUUGAUUCCAGUUAUGAAGUCUUCCAGUCGAUUACCUCUAAUCGAAGCUAGAACUUGUGAACGCUAGAGAAGGUAGUUUGAUCGAUCUAGUUUAAUUGGAUUCGUGAAAGAGAAAUUGAUUUGAGUGUGUUGAUUNNNNNNNNNNNNNNNNNNNNNNNNNNNNNNNNNNNNNNNNNNNNNNNNNNNNNNNNNNNNNNNNNNNNNNNNNNNNNNNNNNNNNNNNNNNNNNNNNNNNNNNNNNNNNNNNNNNNNNNNNNNNNNNNNNNNNNNNNNNNNNNNNNNNNNNNNNNNNNNNNNNNNNNNNNNNNNNNNNNNNNNNNNNNNNNNNNNNNNNNNNNNNNNNNNNNNNNNNNNNNNNNNNNNNNNNNNNNNNNNNNNNNNNNNNNNNNNNNNNNNNNNNNNNNNNNNNNNNNNNNNNNNNNNNNNNNNNNNNNNNNNNNNNNNNNNNNNNNNNNNNNNNNNNNNNNNNNNNNNNNNNNNNNNNNNNNNNNNNNNNNNNNNNNNNNNNNNNNNNNNNNNNNNNNNNNNNNNNNNNNNNNNNNNNNNNNNNNNNNNNNNNNNNNNNNNNNNNNNNNNNNNNNNNNNNNNNNNNNNNNNNNNNNNNNNNNNNNNNNNNNNNNNNNNNNNNNNNNNNNNNNNNNNNNNNNNNNNNNNNNNNNNNNNNNNNNNNNNNNNNNNNNNNNNNNNNNNNNNNNNNNNNNNNNNNNNNNNNNNNNNNNNNNNNNNNNNNNNNNNNNNNNNNNNNNNNNNNNNNNNNNNNNNNNNNNNNNNNNNNNNNNNNNNNNNNNNNNNNNNNNNNNNNNNNNNNNNNNNNNNNNNNNNNNNNNNNNNNNNNNNNNNNNNNNNNNNNNNNNNNNNNNNNNNNNNNNNNNNNNNNNNNNNNNNNNNNNNNNNNNNNNNNNNNNNNNNNNNNNNNNNNNNNNNNNNNNNNNNNNNNNNNNNNNNNNNNNNNNNNNNNNNNNNNNNNNNNNNNNNNNNNNNNNNNNNNNNNNNNNNNNNNNNNNNNNNNNNNNNNNNNNNNNNNNNNNNNNNNNNNNNNNNNNNNNNNNNNNNNNNNNNNNNNNNNNNNNNNNNNNNNNNNNNNNNNNNNNNNNNNNNNNNNNNNNNNNNNNNNNNNNNNNNNNNNNNNNNNNNNNNNNNNNNNNNNNNNNNNNNNNNNNNNNNNNNNNNNNNNNNNNNNNNNNNNNNNNNNNNNNNNNNNNNNNNNNNNNNNNNNNNNNNNNNNNNNNNNNNNNNNNNNNNNNNNNNNNNNNNNNNNNNNNNNNNNNNNNNNNNNNNNNNNNNNNNNNNNNNNNNNNNNNNNNNNNNNNNNNNNNNNNNNNNNNNNNNNNNNNNNNNNNNNNNNNNNNNNNNNNNNNNNNNNNNNNNNNNNNNNNNNNNNNNNNNNNNNNNNNNNNNNNNNNNNNNNNNNNNNNNNNNNNNNNNNNNNNNNNNNNNNNNNNNNNNNNNNNNNNNNNNNNNNNNNNNNNNNNNNNNNNNNNNNNNNNAUAUAUAUAUAGCUGUUAAAUAGAUAAUAAGCAUAGAUCUUCACCUUUAGAUGGUUGCAAUAUUGUCUACAAAGUUGAAUAGUUGCACUCCUUUUCUAUUUUUUAUUUGCUGGUACGGCUUCAAUUGGCCUAUCUCCUCUCAUAAUAUUUCUUUCAUUCAUAACUAUUGGAUAAAGAUUAGAAUUUGAUCAAUGAAAAAAAGAUAAACAAUUACCAAUUCUAAUUGAAAUGCCAUUGUAUUUUCUUAAACAUUCCAAAUAUCAUAAUUUUUUUUCCCUCUUACUUAUUUCUGAAGUUAUUUUCUUCCUGUUUCUAAUGUUUCUCUAAUUCUUAAUCCCUUAAUGAUGAGGCGAGAAAGAUUACGAAAGUGAAACUGAUUAAAACUAAAUAUAUAAAUAUUAGAAUCCAAACGUUCCGUGCCCAAAUCCUGUUAAAUAUGAAAUAUACAAAAUUAACAAGUUGAUCAUCAUGUAAAAAUCUUAUUUAACUCCUAGUUUCAUUACAAAAUCGUUCACAAGUUAAUUGAUAUCCGUAGUAGGUGAUAAAAGCUCAAGCUUUUUUAAUAAGGAAAGCUCAAAAGAAUUUCAUAAGAAAUCACAUACCAAUGAAAAUCAAUGCAGGGAAACAAUUGAGCUAUUUUCCUAGAGGGUAUAGCGCUGAUGACAAUCAGAAGAAUCACUUAAUUAACGUAAUGAAAUAGCAACGUAGUUUAGAUCUACAAUGCCACUUGCCACAUGAAAAUGUAUAUAAUCAUAAUUAAUUAGGGAAAAGGACGUUGUAAUGAUCUGAGUGAGUUGUGCAUCAAUGUGGUUGUGAUCAGGUGACGCUCUUCUUUAAUAGUCAAUUCAGCACUUGAGCUACGUUCUCUUAUCCUUUUUUUUUUUUUCACCCACAAUUACUUCACUGAGAUUGGAUCAAUAAUGCCUCAGCGAAUUCAUUAACAGGAAGACUGUAGGAACUGUAAGGUAAAGAAAUUUAUACUAAUACGCUGCAACGGAGAAACAAAUAAAGAUCCCUCUAUAUUCUCAAAAAAGAACUAACACUAUCUUACAUUCAACUGUUGAUGCAACCAUUGGAGUUACAUCAAUAAUUGGAGUAGUCCAGAUAGGAUUGCUAAUGCUCGAAACAAGUGGCUCUUAGAAAGAAUAGACAAUGACCAGUAAUGAACAUAACUCAAUGGGUCCACUUCAAAAAGCAAUUGUUCAAUUUCCAUCAACUUGUUUAAUAGGGUAGAUGUGGGAUGGAGAUUUCUAAAGAUUUUAAAUAAACCUUUAGGUUAAAAAGAUUUUAAAAUUAACAAAAUGUCUUUCUAUUAAUAAUAUUAAAAUUAUUUUUUUAUAAUAUUCAAAAUAAUUUAAACUUUACUUUAUUUAUUGCAAUAUUAUGUGUCUAUUUAUUAUUAAAAUUACUUUAAUAUGAUCAAAUAUAUAUGUAUAAUAAAUUGUAAAAUACAAAAAUAUUUUCUUGCUUGUCAACAAAUAUUUUUUUCCCCGAAAGCCAAAAUAAAAUUAUGUCAAUAUCAAUUCUUUAACAUAACAACCUUAGCUUUCUGAAGUCUAAUACUACUCUUUCCAUGCCCAAAAAUUCAAAAAAUUUUAAUUAAUCCUGUUACUGGGCUUGCGGCAGUUUCGCUAUUGAAGGCAAUUUGAUAUUAAAAUAUUUUUUAAUGAAAAAUUCUUUAAAUUAAACAAAUAAUUUAUCAUGAUUGGUCCUACGAUAAGCAGAUACACAAUCACUCUAAAUUGUAGUUUUGCAUCAUAUAUAUAUUUCGUAUAUUAACAAAAUUGAGGCUAAAUAAAUUUUGUCAAAUGAAAUUAACAAGAUAUUAAAUCAAAUAAAAUAUCUACAUGCCUCAAUAAAAUAUAUAAAUGAUAUGCCCAUAAGAUUCAAUAAAUGAUGGAUUAUUUUAAAAUUUAAAAUUCUGAAAAAUCGCCAAAAUUGAAAGGAUUUUGGACUAAAAUGACUGCUGUACCGUACAUCCGCCUUGGCCGUACAGCAGAAUAAUGCCUCAGUGAAUUCAUUAACAGGAAGACUGUAUGAACUGUAAGGUAAAGAAAUUUAUACUAAUACGCUGCAACGGAGAGACAAAUAAAGAAAUUCUCAAAAAAGAACUAACACUAUCUUACAUUCAACUGUUGAUGCAACCAUUGGAGUUACAUCAAUAAUUGGAGUAGUCCAGAUAGGAUUGCUAAUGCUCGAAACAAGUGGCUCUUAGAAAGAAUAGACAAUGACCAGUAAUGAACAUAACUCAAUGGGUCCACUUCAAAAAGCAAUUGUUCAAUUUCCAUCAACUUGUUUAAUAGGGUAGAUGUGGGAUGGAGAUUUCUAAAGAUUUUAAAUAAACCUUUAGGUUAAAAAGAUUUUAAAAUUAACAAAAUGUCUUUCUAUUAAUAAUAUUAAAAUUAUUUUUUUAUAAUAUUCAAAAUAAUUUAAACUUUACUUUAUUUAUUGCAAUAUUAUGUGUCUAUUUAUUAUUAAAAUUACUUUAAUAUGAUCAAAUAUAUAUGUAUAAUAAAUUGUAAAAUACAAAAAUAUUUUCUUGCUUGUCAACAAAUAUUUUUUUCCUCCAAAGCCAAAAUAAAAUUAUGUCAAUAUCAAUUCUUUAACAUAACAACCUUAGCUUUCUGAAGUCUAAUACUACUCUUUCCAUGCCCAAAAAUUCAAAAAAUUUUAAUUAAUCCUGUUACUGGGCUUGCGGCAGUUUCGCUAUUGAAGGCAAUUUGAUAUUAAAAUAUUUUUUAAUGAAAAAUUCUUUAAAUUAAAAAAGAAACAAUCGAUUUAACCACCAUCAAUCAUGUCGUGGUAGUAAUUAAAAUAAGAUAAAGGUUGGAUAUCUAUUGGAUACCUCUUCUUUUCAAAAGGCAAGCGUCUUGGACUUUUCGCUAAAUGAACGCGUAUCAGUUUUUUGAGUUAAAAAUGAGCAAUAAUGCCGUAUUUGUGGAAUUUAGCCACUUCGCCAGUUCCUUGGCAUCUUCCUUUCAAAUUCUCCCAUGGCGUUUAAUUUUACACCAGUAACCACUUUGAGAUAGAACCAAUCCUUUUAAUAUUUCUUGGAGCAAAAAACAAUACCUCUGGGUGCUACAGAGAGAAGGAGAUAUGCUGGACGUCCACCUCCGACUGUUUUGUGAGAGGUUGAAAAGGGUGUUAGCAGGUGAAGAAGGCAUGUUAACGUGGCCUGAUUCAACAAAUUUAACUCCACGUUUUCAAAACCUUCUUACGGAGUCCGAAAUUAUUGCUACUACUCUGUUGGGAAACUAUGAAGCUGACAUGGCUCGUCGUGUGAUUCAACGCAUCCUUAGAGACCUACCCGAUAAAAACGAAAUAGCUUUGUAUUUUCUGCAACUGUUGGACUUAGAAGAAAGCGAUGAAGACAGCGAGGAAGACAUUUUGGAAAUUCUGGAGGACAUCAAUCACCAUGUCAAUGAAUCUGAGGAAGCCAUUGACUCAUUCUUUAUCAACAUCAUGCAUCAGCAGAACAGUGAAAACGAAAGUGAAAGCAGUACUUGUAUGGCUAUUCUUGUUGGACUCCACAGUAAAAUCAUUGCUAUUAGAAAUCGGAUGCAACAACUUCCACCCGGCAACAAUGGUUUUGAUAUCAGUGAACAAAGGGAAAAACUCAUUCACUUAUUGACUGACGGACAACCUCGGCUUGAUAUCAAUGAAUUUGAAAGGGGCAGAGAGGAGUUGUUUGAUUUAUUGAUUGAAGGACAUCCUCGGCUUGCAGUGGGGCAGAGAGGAGUUGUUUGAUUUUGUUUGAUUUAUUGAUUGAAGGACAUCCUCGGCUUGCAGUGGUUGCAAUUGCCGACAGCAGUGGCUUCGAUAAGACUGCUUUUGCUGCUGAUACUUAUAACAAUAAUCAUGUCAAGUUCUAUUUUGACUGUCUUGCUUGGGUCAGGGUUUCUGUAUUCUACCAUUUUGGCAAGAUAUUGGAUGACAUAAUCAAGUCUGUUAUGCCUCCAUCUCGGGUUAGUGUAAUUAUCGGGGAAGAUUAUCAAUUGAAGAAAUCUAUUCUUCGAGAUUACCUAACAAACAGGAAGUACUUUAUUGUGCUUGAUGAUGUCUUCGAUGACAGUGAGAUAUGGAGUGAUCUUGAAGAAGUUCUUCCUGAUAAUCAGAAUGGAAGCAGAGUAUUGAUAUUGGUCACUGAUCCACACCUCCUUACGCUGUCGGAAAUGGAAAACGGAGAGAAGAUUCGGCUUGAUUCGGUGCUCAUUGGAGGACCAUUGAUCAGAUUAAAGCAUGAAGCCUGGCAAUUUUUCAUCCUACACUAUGGAAGUAUGCCCUUAGAAAAUUAUCUUCAAGGCGAAACGAUUCCGACAAUUUUGAGUCGAAUUUGUUCUGUGUUGGAGUUACCUUUUCACUUGAAAAUCUGCUGCAUUUAUUUGUGUGUUUUCCCUCCAAGUAUUGAGAUAUCUACUAGGCAAUUAUAUCAGUUGUGGGAAGCUGAAGGUUUCAUACCAUACAACAGUGAGGAAACUGCAGAACAUCACUUAAAAGAACUAAUCCGUCGCGGCUUCAUUCAAGUGAGUAAGAGAAGAGCCGGAGGCACAAUUAAAUCGUGUUAUUUUCCAAGUAUUGUAGAUACUUCAUUGUUUUUGGUGGCAGAGAAGACGGAAUUUGUCUGGUCGCCUGACAUGGUAGAGGAACCAAUGGCAAAUGUUAAACGGUGCUUCAUUUUGAAAGAUCUGAUUGACUUCUUUCCUUCAGAAUAUUCUGACAUGUAUCUCCAAUCUUUUCUCAAUCACAGUUCAGAAAGCGAUCGUCUCGCUCGGAUAGAUUGCGAGAAUUUUUGUAAAAAGUUCAAAUACCUUCGGGUAUUGGACUUGGGUUCUGCAGUUCUCGACCAAUUUCCACCCGGAUUAGAAAAUUUAUUCCUUUUGAAGUAUUUGAAAUUGAAUAUCCCUUCGCUCAAAUGCCUUCCUUCGCAGCUAUGCACCCUUUUAAACCUUCAAACACUACAAAUGCCAUCUAGCUACAUAGAUCAGUCACCAGAGGAUAUUUGGAUGAUGCAAAAACUCAUGCAACUAAACUUCGGUUCCAUCACUCUGCCUGCACCUCCAACAAAUUAUUCCAGCUCUUUGAAGAAUCUUAUUUUCAUAUCAGCCUUACACCCUAUUAGUUGCACUCCAGAUAUAUUGGGCAGAUUACCAAAUAUUCAAACUCUUAGAAUAUCUGGAGAUUUGAGUUAUGAUCAAUCUAGGGUUUCCAAAAGCCUAUGCGAACUACAAAAACUUGAAUGGUUGAAGCUGGUGAAUGAAAGCAAGCCCUCACGAAUGGUCCUGUCUGAAUACCAGUUUCCUCCAAGUCUGACCCAUCUGAGCUUAUCAAAUACUGAGCUAAAGGAGGAUCCCAUGCCAACGCUAGAAAAGCUUCCAUACGUUCAAGUGCUGAAACUGAAGCAGAACUCCUAUUUAGGAAGAAAGCUGGCCUGCGUUGGCUCUGGUGGCUUUCCGGAACUUAAGGUUUUGCACCUGAAAUCAAUGUAUUGGCUAGAUGAGUGGACGAUGGGGGCUGGAGCAAUUCCAAAACUUGAAAGCUUAAUUGUCGACCCAUGUGCUUACUUGAGAAAGCUUCCAGAAGAGCUGUGGUGCAUACAGAGCUUGCGCAAAUUGGAUUUACAUUGGCCUCAGACAGAGUUGAGACAAAGACUACGGACUUUCGAGGAUAUGGAGUGGCGGUAUGACAUCCAGUUAUAUCCUUAUGGAAUCUGAUGGAUUGAAUUGGGUGAGUUUUAAUCUUAUCAGACAACUCAUUCUUUUAUAUGCAAUUUUUUUUUAUGUUUAUCGUAAAACCUACAAGGAGGUCAUAAAAAUGCCAAACUAAUUGAGGUUGCUUCUGAUGUCAAAAUUAUGUCUCAACAUAGACUCAGUUUGACUGGCAAAACAGAGUGGGAUAGCCACACAUUGCAGCAGAGAAACAAAGAAAGAUCCCUUUAUAUAUAUCUAAUAAGAACUGUAAAAGCAGAUUUUAAUUUGUGAUUCUUAUUUCCCUUUACUUAUGUAGGCAAAACUGGAGAGGGAAACAACACCAGCCGGACUUUCAAUUUCAUGAGACGGGGCAUUGUUCUAUUUAGCAGAUUUCAAGGAUUUGCUUUAAUAUGCCAUGGUUGCAAUAUUGUCUAGAAACUUGAAUAGUUGCACUCCUUUUUCUAUUUUGAAUUUGCUGGUAUGUUUGUAGGGGCGUGUGCGUGUGUGUUGAGUUUUGAUUAAUGUAUUAUGCUUCGAUGUACUCCAUUUAAGCCCCGGACUUGCCGGUAUGGUUUGGAUAGCUUUGGAUUUGCAUGGUUUGCUAGUUAGAGAAAUGGUUUGCUAGUUAUAGAAAUAUCAAUCUUACUAGGAAAACUACCUCAUGCGUGUACGUUUCUGGCUUCAUUUUAGUUGCUGAUUGCACCUUCAAUUACAUUAGAGUAUAUGGAGUAAAAAAAAAAAGUUAAAUUAUUGGCUGAUUUUUAAGAUACUUUCAAGUUUGGCCCAUACCUCAAUUGUCAGAAAGUAUAUGGAGUAAAAAAAAAAAGGUUGGGUGUAAAUAAGUGAUAUACAGAUGUAAGGCUUCUUUGAUCACAUUUGAAGUUAAUUACAAGCAUAUCUCUUGAUAUUUAAGUAAAUAAAAAAAAUAGAAUAUUGGCUGUUGAAUAGAUAAUAAGCAUAGAUCUUGACUUUUGAAUUAAUUACAAAAAUUUUAGUGAACAGAAGAAAUCCAUUUGUUCCACCGAUUACAUUGAGGAUUUUAAUGAAUCCCAAUCUUAGGUAACAUGCUAAUGCUAACAGUAAUGGCAAGAUAUCAAAUGUCGGAGAUAAGAGACUAUUAGCUUUAAGCGAACCAACAGAGAUUGACAAGUUAGAAAUAACUUGCUAAGUUGAGAAAUACGCCUGACAAAUAAUAUGAUUUUCCCAAAUAAAUUAGGUUUUAAUUUAACAAGUUUUCAUUUACAAAUGCAUUUUAAUCCAAUGAUUUAUCACAAUGUCCCACCAAACUGAACAAAGAAAGAAAGAUAUAAUACAAUUACAAGUUUCCUAAUUAAGCUAUAUGAUUAUGAAUUAAAGCGAAUACUAUUGACUUGACGAACCACUUUUUGUGUUUCUUUAUAAGUACGUAUAUGUACCAACAAAAUUCUUCUUAAAACAAAAAAAAAAUUCUCUCUUUAAAUUUGUAAAUAUUCAUUUACCAAUAAAUUAAUAAAUUAUUCAUUCAAUAAUAAAUAAAUACUCCUCUAAAAUAAUAUCUUUUCGUAGUCCUAAUAAUAUUAUUUUAUAGAUACUUUCUACAUUUAUUGUGCAAUAAUUAAAAAAAUUUAUAUUUUUUAAAAAUAUAAUUACAAUCCAGAUACAUAUAUAUUUAUAAUACAACUCUGAAAUAUAUCAAGACUAGUUAGAAAAUCUACUUCCACUAAUAAUAUUAUUAAGGAGAAAUUAGCCCUAUUCCACGUUUUUACAAUUUGAUUUAAUAUAAAUUUUGUUCAAGAAAUUUAUCUUUUUUAAGAAAAUAUUUGAUUAACAAAUUAUUAUUAUUAUAGCGAAAAUAAAAAAGCAGCGGCAGAAGAAGGCUCUAACAACAAAAUGAAACAUUUACAUUUUUCAUUUCCCAAAACCCUUCGCUCUCUCACUCAGGACACUCACUGAUGCGCAAGCAAUGGCUCGCACUGCCAUCCUCUGCCUCCGCUGGUCAUUACCGGCCAUCGUUGCUCUUCGCCGCUCUCUCUCUGCGGCCGUCCCUGCACUCUCCGCAUCCACUCCUCUCGUAAACCCCUCCAUUUCAUCGGCAUCGUCAUCAGUAAUCUCCUCCUCCUCCUCCUCCAUCAUCCAAUCUCGACUGUGGUUUAUCAACUUCAGGUACAUGUACCUUGAUGUAUGUACCAUCUAAUGCCCUAAAGCAAUUCUAUUAAUCGAUUCAAACAAAAAAAAAUUAUAAUAUAAAAUGGCAAGCUCUCUUUAUUAGAAGAGAAAAUAAAAAUCAAGAAUUUAAGCAUGUCAUUCCUUAAAUCAUUUCCAUCUCUCUCGUCAGUGCAGUUUUACUUACAGGGUCAGGUGUUCUUAAUAAGAUAUUUUCCAAUUGUAAAACUGCAUUUAAGACCAAGUUGAAGUAUCUACUAAUUGUCUCCCCCAAACAUAGAAAUCUACUAUGAAUUGUUCUGUUUUUUUACAUGAUGGGCAAGUAUAUGUAGAAACAUGCAUACUUGUUCCUCAACAGAGACUAUACCAUCAGCCUUCAACCCCCAUUUAUACGAAGUAGCUCACAUAAUAAUUCGAAUGUUCUCUUAUCCAUCAUAGUUGAUUCACAUAUUCUAUGUCACUGCCUAAGAUAAUUUCUAUAUAAAUGAGGCGUGUUGCAUGCCUAAUGAAUGUGCGAUUUGCAACUGUAUAUUUUUUGUUUUGUCGACUUUUGUGUUGCCAAAGUACAGCAGCCAAUACACACAAGCACAAUUGUUGUAAACGGAACUCGUGUAUAAGAGAGAACAAUGUAAUUUCUCUUUCAUCCAUAUCCAGUCAUUGAAGGUAUACGGUGUGAGCAUAUCAUAUGAAUAUUAAAGUAAGUGAAGUAAAUAUCAACAUAAAGAAUUAUGAUAACUGGACAGAUAAAGAACUCAUUGAGAUACAUUUCAUGUGAACAAGUUAUUAGCUCAGUUCCAAGAAACUUAUAAAGCAACAGUUUUCUUUUCAAAAUAUUUAAGUCUUAUCAACAUAAGAGACAAAGUUUAAUUAUUGUAUUCUUAAAAGCAUAAUGAUAAAGUUCUAUUUAAUAGCUAGAAAUAAAGUAAAUUCACUAUAGACAAGAACAAAUUUCUAGAAUUGCUACCUUUUUUUUCAAAUAAAAGAAAUUCACUAAAGAACAAAAUGACGAGAUCCAACUUUAACCAAAAAGCAAAUCACAUAAGCUAACUAAGAAUCUGCACCAUAUGGCUAGAAAUUGACAGCUGGGUUUGCUAGCUUAUUAACAAUGCCAUUACCGUAUCCCAAAAAAUAAAAGAAAUUCUACAUAAAUGUCUCUUUUCAAUUCAUCCCGAGUUUUAGUCAAAACCCAAAAAAUUUCCUUCAUGAAGCUACUCUUUCCAAUGAACAAAUCCAUAAAAUAGUUCACUCAACACAAACAAUUAACCCUUUCCAAAAAAAAAAACACAAACAAUUAACAAAAUUGAUUUAUAACAUGAAAAUUAAAAUAGACAAUAAGAAACACUCAACUGCCAUAUAAAACAUGAAAAUUUCAUCCUAUUAAAUAAUUACAACAAAUAAAUAAACAAAUAAACUUAAUUGAAUUUUUUAGUCAAGAUUUGAGGAGAUUCACUGCAUGAACAAAGGAGAUGGAGAGAAAUUUUAGGGCUUUUUUUUUGGGUGAAAGCCCAUUUAGUCCAUGUAUUUUAAGAUUAGUGACCAUUUAGUCCUUUUAUUUUUAAAAAUGUCUCGAAACAUCCCUGCUGUUAAAGUAUUAAUACCCCUACCGUUACUUUUUAUUUCUUUUGGCUUACUUUUACAAUAUUAACCUUUUAUAAUAAUUUUUUUGUUUGGACAUUAAUAAAAAGAAAAUAAUUAAAUUACCAAAUUAACCAUAAAAAUGAAAAUUAAAAAUUUAUAUUAAUUUUUAACUGUCAAAAAUUGCAUGCAAACUACCAAGUGUGCAAAUGGUGCUUGCAAAAAAAUUAAUAUAAAUUUUAUUUUUUAUUUUUAGGGUUAAAUUAGUAAUUUAAUUUUUUUAUUAAUGUCCGAAAAAAUUAUUAUAAAAGGGUAAUAUUAUAAAAGUAAGUCAAAAGAAAUAAAAAGUAACAGUAGGGAUAUAAAUACUUUAACGAAAGGGAUGUUUUGAGGCAUUUUUAAAAAUAUAGGGACUAAAUAGACACUAAUAUUAAAAUAAAAUGACUAAAUAAACUUUUACCCUACUUUUUUUUUAAUCCUGUGAAUAGCCUAUGGCUAAAUUUUAGAUUAUCCCACGCCCCCUGGUUAUAAAAAUUAAAGUAGUGACAGUUAUAAUGCAUCUUCGCUUUAACAAUUGUGAGUAUGGGUUGUAAAUUUGCUUUCUAUCUAAUUAUGCUUUUGGCAUAUGCGCCUAAAUAUACACGUCAGGAAAUUGAAUUGUAUGUUUUUUACAAUAACUCUUUUUUUUUUUUUUGAAGGGAAAGUAAAGCUUUCCAUUAAACUGACUUUGAAAACAACAGCAAAAUAUUGUAUGGAAAAUUUUCCAGCCACAGAGCAGGUCUUUCAAAACUUAAAGCUAAUUUAGCUAAUGAAUCAACUAAAGCAUUACAAGCUCUCGGGACAUAUUGAAUUCUCGAGGGAUUUUGGUUUUUUGAAAACAACUGAAUGUCAGCAAUUGUCCAGGCUAUCUCUGUUAAGCUACCCUUUCUGUUGAUAGAUAGCUCCACCACCUCUGAUGAAUCUGAUUCAAUAAUCAUAGGCCUACAGUUUACUUGAAAAGCAUUUUGAAUACCAAAGAGGACAGCCUCAGCCUCCAUAUCAACCACAGAACCCUCAUAUAGAACUCUCUUAACAGCUGCAGCUAUGAUCUUUCCCCUGGAAUUCCUUAUCACUACCCCCAGACCCGCCUGCUGGGCUGAAGUAUUUAUUGCAGCAUCCACAUUCACUUUGUACCAACCUUCUGGGGGGCCCAUCCAAGUCUGAAUCUUUUUCCUGGGAGUCUUUAAGGUAGCUUGAUCCUUCGAGCAUUUUAUCCUCUUGUACGAUUCCACUAUGGCUUCUGCUCUUGCAACUGGUAAGAGGGGGUCCUCUUGUUUCCCCUUAAAAAUUUGGAUAUUUCUUGAAUGCUAGAUAGCCCAACAGAUUGCAGCUACCAUCUCCCUGCCUUCUUUGCUUCUUUUCAAAGCUACUUCUUGGAUCAUGCUUAAGAUAUCUUGUUGAGCCAUCAUCUUUAUAUCUUCGUAAAAUUCUGUCUUUUUCCAAACUCUUCUAGUAGCCUUACAUUCCAGUAAAGCAUGGACCACAUCUUCUCUCCUACACCCACAUCUUACGCACACUGGCUCCACCACAAUUUUCCUUUUCCAUAAGUUACUUGCUGUUGGCAGCAGAUUUUUGAUAGCCUUCCACAUAAAUAUUUUCACCUUUUCUGGAAGCUCGUCGGACCAAAAGACAUCCCAUCGUGAUUUGGAGCUAUCAGAACAACUUGGGACUUCUUUGAAUUUUUCCUUCACAUCUAUUUGGUAACCACUCAUAGCUGAGUAUUUCCCAUGCUUAUCAAACCGCCAUAUUAGAGCAUCUGGUUGAGGAGUUCCUCGGGAGAGGUAGUUUUAAAAUUUCUGCUGAAAUGUCCUCUGAGAAACUUUGAGCUAUUAGAUCUCCAUUCCAUUGCUGGCCAUCCUUUAUCAGAUCCGCCACAACAGCUUCAGGAUGUAGACUUGACCAAGGGACUAGUCUGAAAACACUAUUCUGAAUCCAAUUUUUGUUGUGCACUGAGAUUUGCUUCCCGUUCCCAAUCCUCCACCUCAAUCCCUCUUUUAGCAGUUGGGGAAGCACCGCUUGAGCCACCGCUUUUAUAAGAACUUCCUUCCCCCCACUGGAAAAAUAUUGUCUCUGCCAGCUAGAUAAUUUGCUCAACACUCGUAGCUUUAUGUCAUUAAAGAACCUAGUUUUUGCUCUCUCCACCAUAAAAGGAAGUCCAAGAUAUUUCUUAUGCUUGGACACUACAGCCAAAUCAAAAAUGCUGCUUAUUUCCUCCCUCAGCUGCUGACUUGUGCUAGAACUGAAAAACAUAGAGGACUUUUCAUAAUUGAAAAUCUACCUUGAGGCUACAGUGUAACAGUCAAAAACUUUCUUUAGCUCUCUGCGCUCAGCAUUAGAAGCUCUUAUGAACACUAGGCUGUCAUCUGCGAACAAAAGAUGAGUGACCAAAAUCUCUCUUCUGAAUUUCAAACCGUGAAAGAGGUUUUGACCUUCUGCUCUUACCAGUAAAUUUGAGAAUACUUCAGCACACAUAAUGAACAGGUAUGGCGAAAGCGGACAUUCUUGUCUUAAUCCACGUUGAGGAUGGAUGAGACCUUUUGCCAAUUCAUUUAUCAAGACUGAAAAGCUAGCUGUGGAUAUGCAAUUCAUAACCAAAUUCACCCACCUCACCGAAAAACCUAGCUUUUCCAUUGUUCCUUUAACAAAACUCUACUCCACCCUGUCAUAGGCCUUACUAAUGUCUAAUUUCAGAGCUAUCAAUCCAUUUCUGUCUAAUUUUGUUUAGACACUCAUAUCUUAUGAUUAUGUUAUCAGUUAUGAGCCUAUUAGGAAAUAAAGCACUUUGAUUGGGAGAUAUAAUAUCAUUCAGAACUAUUAGCUAUUGUUUUUCGACAAUUCUGUAAAUGACAUUACAAAGACUAAUUGGUCUUAACUCUGUCACUUUCCUAAGCUUUGACACUUUCGGGACUAAAGCAAUAAAAGUUUGGUUCAAAAGAGUAAGAUUACCUCCCUCAUUUAGGAUGUGCAGACAUGUUGAAACCACCCCCUCAUUGACAGAGCUCCAAUGCUUUUGGAAGAAGGCCACCGGAAGACCAUCUGGACCUGGUGCCUUUGUGGGACAGAUGGGCUUGAUGUGGUGAAAAUAUUUGUAAAAUAUUUUCACUACCUCGACAUCUUCAAUCCAAUCACCAUUUUCGUCUUCAAUGCCAUGGAUUCUGUUUUUUUUUUCCUCCUAGCCGAAGCCUUUGUAUGGAAAUAUUUUGUGUUCCUAUCACCCUCUUUCAGCCAAUCCACUCUCGAUCUUUGCUUCCAAAAAAUUUCUUCAUCAGCUAGAAUAUUAUCUAUCUAAUUUUCAACUCGUUUUAAUUCAUCUCCACUUUCAAAAUGAUAGUAAUCUUUUUUCAUGCUUUCCAGCUUGUUAACAAGUUUCUCCAGCUUCUUUUUCCUUCCAUUAAAUUCUCCAUUGCUCCAAAGUUUCAGCUCAGCCAAGGUUUCUUUCGAUUUUUUCAUGAAGAUUUCAGCCGGGUUGCUACUAUUCCAGCAACAUUGCUCCUUCCAUUCAUGCUUCACAAUUGUCUUGCACUUCUCGUACGGGCUCCACAUAUCUUCAUAAUGGAGCCUAGGAUAUGUUCUCUUCAUGUAGCCCUUGCCCCUGCCUUUCUCCAGCACUUCCAUCAUAAUCGAAAUGUGGUUCGAACUCCACGAAGUCAAAUUCGAAGCUACCUUUUCCUAAUAAAAGCUUCCCCAUUUUCUGUUGCACAAGAAUCUAUCGAGUUUCUCUUCGAUUAUGUGAGGCCCAAACCUCCUAUUUGAUCAAGUGAAAGGGUAUCCGCUACUUCCCAAAUCUUUCAAAUCACAGUCCCUCAUUGCUCUCCUAAACUCAUUCACCUCAUUUACCCGUUUCUCAUUUCCCCCAAUCUUCUCAUUUAAGUUCAACAUUUCAUUAAAAUCCCCAAAACACAGCCAUGGUAAUGAAGACAACUUUGUUAUCCUUCUCAACAGCUCCCAAGUGUGUUUUUUUUGUCAGAUUCAGGAUGUCCGUAAACCCCCGUGCACAUCCAAUAGCUUCCAUUUUCGCUAUGCACCACGGCAUCAACAUGGUGUUUACUGUAAGACUUGAUAUCAAUUGUAACCUCUUCAUUCCACAAUAAAGCCAAACCGCCCCCCCAAACCUUCUCUAUUAACUGCAAAGUAGUUUUGAUACCUCAACCUUUUUGCUUUCUCUUGCAUUUGCUUAACCUUCAAUUUAGUUUCAUAGAUGAACAUAAUUUCAGGCCUAUGCUCACACAAGAGUUGCUGGGCUUCUCAGAACGUUCGGUCAUUUCUCAGCCCCUGAACGUUCCAGCUAACGAUUUUCAUGGCUGUCAGCGAGGCUGUUUCACAGCCACCGCCGAUUUCUCAUUUCCAGCAUUCUCAAACUCCCCCUUGUCUUCCUCUUCCACAUUUUCAAAGCUGAGCCCCUUUGUUGCCAAGGCUUUUCCAAACCGUUGGUUGCUCCCCAUUUUUUGUGGGCUGUUCCCUUUGCACUUUUUUGGUUUUGGGCUUUCCCAGUUCAUUGAGCUUCUCAACCUUUUUAAUCCCAAAACUUCUUCAUUUGUUUCUAUAUUCCCUUCCACGUUGCGGGCUUGAAAUUUCCACGUUGCGGGCUUGAAAUUUCCACUUCUUUUUCUAUAUUCCCUUCCACGUUGCGGGCUUGAAAUUUCCACUUCUUUUUCUUGGGCUUUGAUUUAUCCAUUCUGAGCCCAUUCUCUCUAUUCUCCACUUCUGAUUUCGUUUGGAGUGAACACGUAUACAUGUUGAGCUUGUGGCCCCCCUCUUCUAUACUGCCUUUCCUUCCAUUUUCUUCUUGCUCCCCUUUUCCCGCUCUAUAUAAGCCCGCAUUUUGCAUUUUUACUGACUUUUUAUGUUGGAGGUUCGCUUCCCACUCUUUUUCUUUUCCAUCUAUAGUUCUUGCCUCCUUGUCCAUCUCCCACAGCACUGCACCUCCAUCUGCUUGAUUUUUACUGACAUUACAGCUGGCCGCUGGCUCUGCAGUCUUUUUUGCCUCUUUCAUUAAUUGUUCCCCAGUUCCCAAUUGAUCCCUGCUCCUCGUUCCACUCAAACUCCCCAUACCUGAAUCCAAUUCGGGCCUAUUGAGUCCAUAUUCUAUUUCAUGAACCCCUCCGUUUUGUUGGUCUUUCUCCAUCAUAUCAUUUUCUCCAGCCCUUUUAUUGGAUCUAAAGCAUUUGGAGGAUUGUUUCUGAAAUCUGAAUCCCAUCUAUCUUUCCUUCUACCCUGUUUCAAUUUCUCAGUAAUCGUGAGUGCCUUAAGCCAUGGACCAUACGGCAUUUCAUCCUUGGACUGAGAUUUAUAGUGGACACACUCUCUGUAUUAGUGACCUAUCCGCCCGCAACAGAAACAAAAAUCCAGCAGUCUUUCGUACAUGACCCGCAUAGGAAUGUCUUCCUCAUCCUCCCCUUUUUGCUCUAGCUCAAUUAGUUUCUUUAAAGGCUUCGUGACAUCCACAGAAAUUCUCAACCUCAAAAAUUGUCCAAAGCAUUCCCCAGUUGCAUCUGUUUCAAUUUCUUCAACUUUUCCAAUGACAUUUCCUAGCUCCAAUGCCAUCUCCUUUGACAUACACAUGAUGGGGAUAUUGUGUAUCUGCACCCAGAAUGAUACGUGAUUGAAUUUCUACUUCUUUACAUCACCAAUUCCCGCUGGUUCGGUGAGCACAAUGAGUGCUCUGUCAAAAUGCCAAGGGCCACCCGCCUCAGUUCCAAACUUAAACAUGAACACAUUAUCACCCAGAUCUUCUAUCUUUACUUCGCGUGAGGUUCUCCAUUCCCUUUGCAUAACAGACUUCAACCCCUCAAUACUGACUCCCCUCGUAUGCAGAACUUUCCCGAUCAAACACCCCGCAACUAUUUUUUCCCCAAUGGCCUUCAUUUGACUCUUGAAAGAAACUCUUCCCUCCUCUUCAUCACUCAACUUUAUCGCUCUACAUCUUCUGAUUAGCUCCUCUGGGUCCAUCCUCUCUAACUCACAGACUUGCAGGCUAGAAAGGAUUAGCUGGGAGCUUGGAGCCUUUAAGGAUUUGACUUUUGAAAGAGAAUUUCACCAACUACUCAACACUCUUUCACAGAUUGACUGACCUAAAUCCCGUACAUCAUUAAAUAAUGAAAGUGAUAAAAACAAUAGGAAGAAAACCCACCCCCAUCAGAGUGACUUAAAGGAGCCAUGACACCUCUAUUUUUCCUCUCAUCGUUGUAAGUUUUCAGAGAAAACUCAUAAGGAGAGAGACUGACAACUCAAACCUUAGUUCACAACAACUCUUAAAUACAUGGAUCCAUAUCUUUCUAUUUUCAAAAUGGUUGUGGAAAAGUAAAACUGUGUUACUCUCUCUUGGCAUUGGGCUAAUUCUCCGUGAGAAUCUUGAAAUAAAGUUAACUUUUAUAACUAGAGGGAGGACCAACUUCUUUUAUAAUUAAAAUAUUUAAUGUAAUAAAAUGUAUAAAUAUAUCUAAUAUGGGCUUAAUAAGAAUUCAUGUGCGACAUUAAAGGUAUGCUUGGUACCAUUUUUUGGUAAACCUUUUUUUUUUUUCAUUUUAUGACAAUACAAAAAUGUAAAACUCAUUUGGUGGAUGCAAAAAAUAUAAAAUUGAAUAGUUAUUGGUUUUUACUUUUUUUUCAUAAAGGUAAAAAACAUUAAAUUGAGGUUCUUUUAUCAUAUUUCUCAUUGAAUUCCCUCAAAAGUGAAAUAAAUCAUUAGAAAAAGGAGACAUACAUCCUUAAAAUUUGAAAAUUUUGUUAUGCAAACUCUUAAAUAUAAUAUAAUACCCUUUGGAUAUAGAAACUAGAAAAUUGACUUUAAAAGGUUUUAAUAAACUUUGCUGCUGUACGGCCAAGGCGGAUGUACGGUACAGCAGUUUAAUUUUAUAUUUAUAUUUAUUUUAAAGAUUUUAAAUAAAUCUUUGGAUUAAAAAGAUUUUACAAUUAGCAAAAUAUCUUCCUAUCAAUAAUAUUAAAAUUAUUUAUUGAUAAUAUUCCAAAUAAUUUAAAUUUAUUUAUUGUAAUAUUAUGUUUCUAUUUAUUAUUAAAAUUACUUUAAUAUGAUAAAAUAUGCAUCGCAGAUUCUAAAGUAUAAAAAUAUUUUCUUUGCUUGUCAACAAAUGUUUUUUUCCUGAAAACCAAAAUAAAAUUAGAGUGAUAAUAGAGCUACAAACUCUUGUACAAACUUAUUUCGUACAAACUGAUGCGUCAUUAAUUCAUUGGUUGAAUGAAAAUAUAAAAUAAUAGAAAUAAAUCAUGUGGGCCAAGAGAUAUUUAAUUCAACCAAUGAAUUAACGGCAUAUCAGUUUGUACAAAAUAAGUUUGUAUAAGAGUUUGUGGCUAUAUCAUUACUCAUAAAAUUAUGUCAACAUCAAUUCUUCAACACAGCAACAUUUGCUACCCUGCUUUAUGUUUAAUACUACUCUUUCCAUGCCCAAAAAUUCAAAAAUUUUUAAUGGGUCUUGUUACUGGGCUUCUGGCAGUAAUAACAUUGAAGGCAUUUUGAUUUUAAAUUUCUUUUAAAAGAAAAAUUCUUUAAAUUAAAAAAAAGAAAAGAAAAGAAAAAAUUGAUUUAAGAUGAAGGUUGGAUCCCUAUUCUUUUCAGAAGGCACGCGUCUCGAAGAACAUGUAUCACGUGUCUAAGAGAAAAAUGAGCAAUAAUGCCGUAUUUGCGGAAUUUAGCCACUUCGCCAGUUUCUUGGCAUCUUCCUUGCAAAUUCUUCCAUAGUGUUUAAUUUUCCAUAGUGUUUUAAUAUUCAACAUUUCUUGAAGCAAAUAACAAUACAUCUGGGUGCUACAGACAGAAGGAGAUAUGCUGGACGUCCACCUCCGACUAUUUUGUGAGAGGUUGAAAAGGGUGUUAGCUGGUGAAGAAGGCACGUUGACGUUGCGUGAUUCAACAAAUUUAGCCAUCUAGCUACAUAGAUCAUUCACCAGAUGAUAUUUGGAGGAUGCAAAAACUCAUGUAUCUAAACUUCGGUUUCAUCAAUCUGCCCGCACCUCAAAAAAAUUAUUGCAGCUCUCUGAAAAAUCUCAUUUUCUUAUCAGCCUUACACCCUAGCAGUUGCACUCCAGCUAUAUUGGGCAGACUACCAAUUGUCCAAAGUCUAAGAAUAUCUGGAGAUUUGAGUUACUAUCAAUCUGGGGUUUCCAAAAGCCUAUGCGAACUGCACAAACUUGAAUGCUUGAAGCUGGUGAAUGGGAGCAAGCGCUCACGGAUUGUCCUGACUGAAUACCAACUUCCUCCAAGUCUGAGCCAUACGAGCAUAUCGAACACUGAGCUAAUUGAGGAUCCCAUGCCAAUGCUGGAAAAGCUUCCACGCCUUCAAGUGCUGAAACUGAAGCAGAACUCGUAUUUAGGAAGAAAGCUGGCCUGCGUUGGCUCUGGUGGCUUUCCGGAACUUAAGAUUUUGCACCUGAAGUCAAUGUAUUGGCUAGACGAGUGGACGAUGGGGGCAGGAGCAAUGCCAAAACUUGAAACCUUAAUUGUCAACCCAUGUGCUUACUUGAGAAAGCUUCCAGAAGAGCUAUGGUGCAUAAAGAGCUUGUGCAAAUUGGAUUUACAUUGGCCUCAGACAGAGUUGAGACAAAGACUACGGACUUUCGAGGAUAUGGAGUGGCGGUAUGACAUCCAGUUAUAUCCUUACGGAAUCUGAUAGAUUGAAUUGGGUGACUUUUAAUCUAAUCUGAUAACUCAUACUUCUGUUACUUGCCUCAUUUUAUAUGCAACUUUUUNNNNNNNNNNNNNNNNNNNNNNNNNNNNNNNNNNNNNNNNNNNNNNNNNNNNNNNNNNNNNNNNNNNNNNNNNNNNNNNNNNNNNNNNNNNNNNNNNNNNNNNNNNNNNNNNNNNNNNNNNNNNNNNNNNNNNNNNNNNNNNNNNNNNNNNNNNNNNNNNNNNNNUGUAUCUAUCUAAUAAUUAGAACUGUAAAAGUUGAUUUUCAUCUAUGAUUCUUAUUUCCUUUUACUUGUGUAGACAAAAUCGGCAAGGGAAAUAUUGUAAUUCAGUAUUUGCUAUAACUGAUGCCAUGGUUGCAAUAUUGUCUACAAACAUGAAUAGUUGUACUCCUUUCUCUAUUUUUUGAAUUUUUUGGUAUGUAUGUUUGUGUAUUUGUUUUAGUUACUGUUUUAUGCUUAGAAGUGCUCCAUUUAGGCCCUAGAUACAUGCAGGUACGGUUUGGCUAGCUGUGGACUUGUAUGGUUUUCUAGUUAAAGAAAAUAUCAAUCUUCUAGAAAAACUGCCUCAUGCGUGUACAUUUCUGCUUCAUUUUAGUUGCUGCCUCAUGCAUAAAAUUAUGUACAACUAUACAUUUCUUAUUAAUUUAUGCAUGUAGUGAUGUUUUGAAUCAUAUCGGAGAAUCGUUUAUAUUUAUUAAGACUCAAUGUACAUGCAAUUUGUAGUAUCGCCCAGAGAUCUGCCAAGCAUUAGCUUAGAAAAAUACUCUGUCCAAAUUCAGAGAAAUUAGCCCGGGUCAUAUUUAAAUAAAUAAAUAUAAGGCCCUAAUUGAAAUGCCAUUGUAUUUUCUUAAAUUUCAAUUAAUUAUCAAAUAGAAAAAUGGCAAGUCACAUUUGAACUUAUUUACAAGCAUAGCUCUUGAUAUUUAAAUAAAUAUAUAUAUAUUUAGAUAUACCUUCAAUUGGCCUAUCUCCUCUCAUAAUAUUUCUUUCAUUCAUAACUAUUGGAUAAAGAUUAGAAUUUGAUCAAUGAAAAAAAGAUAAACAAUUACCAAUUCUAAUUGAAAUGCCAUUGUAUUUUCUUAAAUUUCAAUUAAUUAUCAAAUAGAAAAAUGGCAAGUUUUUUUUGCUUCUUGAUUUUGAUUGGGAAAACUACUGAGACAGAGAUCUUUAAUUGCUAGACAUCUUCAAUAAAUGACUCCUAGCUAAAACUCCCAAAAACUAUUCAUAGAUAUCAAUUAUUAAUGCAUAUUUACUCAACAAAAAAUUAUGAUAUAUUCCAAAUAUCAUAAUUUUUUUUCCCUCUUAUUAUUUCUGAAGUUAUUUUCUUCCUGUUUCUAAUGUUUCUCUAAUUCUUAAUCCCUUAAUGAUGAGGCGAGAAAGAUUACGAAAGUCAAACUGAUUAAAACUACAUAUAUAAAUAUUAGAAUCCAAACGUCCCGUGCCCAAAUCCUGUUGAACAACUAAUCUACAAGGGCAUUGGCCAGAGGCAAAUGAAGAUGGUUGAAUGAUUAAUUACUUUAAACAAAAAAUAAGUCGAAAUCUAUGAAUAGAAUUUUCCUUUCUUUAUACAUAUUCAAUUAUAACAAACGAUUAUUAAAUUACUCCCAACGAAAGGAUUAGGUUUUUCAUUAUUGCAAUUAAACAAGAUUCUCAUUUUCUCGCAUCGCGUGCAUUGCAAGUUGCAACAAUCGAAAACUCUUGCCGAUGCUAUUAGUAUAAUGUAUAAUGUGAGUGGCCGCAAAAAUGCUCUGCUGAUUUGACACCGGUGUAACUGUAAACUAAACUUUUAUUAUUAAGUAAAACAAACACAUGUUAACAAAAAGAACAAUAAUUCAUCAAUUUGUACAUUGACAACUAAAUAACUAUAAUUUUUUUUUGUUAAAUCUCUAUUUAUAAAAACUCUACUAACAAAAGCCCUCCUUAAAUAAAUUCUAGUUAAAAAGUUAUACCAAACGGAGCCAUAAUAUAAUUACAAAUUUCCUAACUAAGCUACAUUAUUAUGCACCUUAGCAAUUAAAGCAAAUACUAUUGACUUGAGGAAGCACUUUUUGUGUUUCUUUAUUAGUGUGUGCAUGUACCAAACAAACUCUUCUUAAAAGCGAAAACAAAUCUCUCUUUAAAUUAAUAAAUAUUAAUUUAUCAUGAUAAAUUUUUCAUUCAAUAAAUAAAUAAAUAACUUAUCUAAAAUAAUAUUUUUUCUUAGUCCUAACAAUAUUAUUUUAUAGAUAUUGUUCUACAUUACUGUGCAAUAAUGAAAAUUUUUUAUAUUUUUAAAAAUAUAGUUACAAUCUAGAUACAUGUACGUUGAUAAUACAACUUUGAAAUAUAUCAAGACAAUUUUGAAAAUCUACUUCUACUAAUAAUAAUAUUAUGGAGAAAUUAAUUGUCACGUGGCUGCUAUAGAGUCUUAUUCAACAGGGUAAUUGUUGUUAUAGUCAAAACAAAUAUUUAGUUUUUAUUUACUUGUUGAAGUGGUCCACUAAAUCAGCACUUGGUGCUAUCAUUUAGCUGUGUCUUUGUUAUUUUCUGUUAAUGUCUUUGUAUAAAUUCAUAGUCCGAAGAUGAAUAAAAGCCUUGGUUACGUUGGCACGUAAUUUUCUUCAAAGAUGAAUGAAGGCUUCCAAUUAAUUUUCUUCAAAGUUCCUCUAGUAUUGGAAGCCUUGGUCUUCCUCGAAAUAGACCAAGUUCAGCUGAUCGUUCUUUAUUUAAUUAACUACUACAAUAGGGAAAUGAAAGAAAACGAUCCUGAAAAGGCAUGAUUCCUUAUAAGAUCGCUAAUGCUCAAAAUAAGUGGCUCAUAGAAAGACAAUGACCAGUAAUGAACAUAACAUAAUGGGUUCAAUUUCUAUCAACUUGUUUGAUAGUGUAGAUGUGGGAUGGAGAUGGAUUAAAGGAACCUCUUUUGAAAAGCAUCGAAAAUGAAUAAAGUGGGAAAAUCAAGAUAAGCAUGUUUGGUGGAUGCAUUUUUUGAAUUACAAACAAAAAAUACAAAAUUGAAUAGUUCUUGGUUUCCACUUUUUUCAUAAAGGUAAAGAAUGUUAAAUUAAUGUUCUCUGAUGAUAUUUCUUAUCGGAUUUCCCUCAAAAGCAAAAUAAAUUGUCGGAAAAAUAAUACCUACUUCCUUAAAUUUUAAAAAAAUUAUCAUUUAGACCCUGAAAUUUUAAAACAGUUGCACCAAAAUCUUUUCUUUAACUAUGAUACCUCUUGAAUGUACUAACUAAAAAAUUGACUUUAAAAAAUUUUAAUCAAUACGAAUAUAAUAUAAAUAAUAAAAUCUACGUAGUAGGCUAAUAACAUUAUGAGCUAUUUUCCUAGAGGGUAUAACGCUGAUGACAAUGAGGAGAAUCACUUAAUUAACGUAUUGAAAUAGCAACUUGGUUUAGAUCUACAAUGCCACUUGCUAUAUGAAAACGUAUAUAAUCAUAAUUAAUUAGCGAAAAGGACGUUGUAAUUAUCUGAAUUAAGUAAUAAACGCUUCAACUAAUCUACAAGGGCAUUGGCCAGAGGCAAAUGAAGAUGGUUGAAUGAUUAAUUACUUUAAACAAAAAAUAAGUCGAAAUCUAUGAAUAGAAUUUUCCUUUCUUUAUACAUAUUCAAUUAUCACAAACGAUUAUUAAAUUACUCCCUACGAAAGGAUCAGGUUUGUCAAUAUUGCAAUUAAACAAGAUUCUCAUUUUCUCGCAUCGCGUGCAUUGCAAGUUGCAACAAUCGAAAACUCUUGCCGAUGCUAUUAGUAUAAUGUAUAAUGUGACUGGCCGCAAAAAUGCUCUGCUGAUUUGACACCGGUGUAAUUGUAAACUAAACUUUUAUUAUUAAGUAAAACAAACACAUGUUAACAAAAAGAACAAUAAUUCAUCAAUUUGUACAUUGACAACUAAAUAACUAUAAUUUUUUUUGUUAAAUCUCUAUUUAUAAAAACUCUACCAACAAAAGCCCUCCUUAAAUAAGUUCUAGUUUAAAAAUUAUACCAAAUGGGGUCAUAAUAUAAUUACAAAUUUCCGAACUAAGCUACAUUAUUAUGCACCUUAGCAAUUAAAGCAAAUACUAUUGACUUCAGGAAGUACUUUUUGUGUUUCUUUUAUUAGUGUGUGCAUGUACCAAACAAACUCUUCUUAAAAGCGAAAACAAAUCUCUCUUUAAAUUAAUAAAUAUUAAUUUAUCAUGAUAAAUUUUUCAUUCAAUAAAUAAAUAAAUAACUUAUCUAAAAUAAUAUUUUUUCUUAGUCCUAACAAUAUUAUUUUAUAGAUAUUGUUCUACAUUACUGUGCAAUAAUUAAAAUUUUUUAUAUUUUUUAAAAUAUAGUUACAAUCUAGAUACAUGUACGUUGAUAAUACAACUUUGAAAUAUAUCAAGACAAUUUUGAAAAUCUACUUCUACUAAUAAUAAUAUUAUGGAGAAAUUAAUUGUCACGUGGCUGCUAUAGAGUCUUAUUCAACAGGGUAAUUGUUGUUAUAGUCAAAACAAAUAUUUAGUUUUUAUUUACUUGUUGAAGUGGUCCACUAAAUCAGCACUUGGUGCUAUCAUUUAGCUGUGUCUUUGUUAUUUUCUGUUAAUGUCUUUGUAUAAAUUCAUAGUCCGAAGAUGAAUAAAAGCCUUGGUUACGUUGGCACGUAAUUUUCUUCAAAGAUGAAUGAAGGCUUCCAAUUAAUUUUCUUCAAAGUUCCUCUAGUAUUGGAAGCCUUGGUCUUCCUCGAAAUAGACCAAGUUCAGCUGAUCGUUCUUUAUUUAAUUAACUACUACAAUAGGGAAAUGAAAGAAAACGAUCCUGAAAAGGCAUGAUUCCUUAUAAGAUCGCUAAUGCUCAAAAUAAGUGGCUCAUAGAAAGACAAUGACCAGUAAUGAACAUAACAUAAUGGGUUCAAUUUCUAUCAACUUGUUUGAUAGUGUAGAUGUGGGAUGGAGAUGGAUUAAAGGAACCUCUUUUGAAAAGCAUCGAAAAUGAAUAAAGUGGGAAAAUCAAGAUAAGCAUGUUUGGUGGAUGCAUUUUUUGAAUUACAAACAAAAAAUACAAAAUUGAAUAGUUCUUGGUUUCCACUUUUUUCAUAAAGGUAAAGAAUGUUAAAUUAAUGUUCUCUGAUGAUAUUUCUUAUCGGAUUUCCCUCAAAAGCAAAAUAAAUUGUCGGAAAAAUAAUACCUACUUCCUUAAAUUUUAAAAAAAUUAUCAUUUAGACCCUGAAAUUUUAAAACAGUUGCACCAAAAUCUUUUCUUUAACUAUGAUACCUCUUGAAUGUACUAACUAAAAAAUUGACUUUAAAAAAUUUUAAUCAAUACGAAUAUAAUAUAAAUAAUAAAAUCUACGUAGUAGGCUAAUAACAUUAAAGUAUAUUUAACAUUUAAAAUAAUAUUAAAAUUUUCAAAUUAUGAUUUUUAUUUUAAUCUUAUAUUUGUAUUUAUUAUAGAGAUUUUAAAUAAACCUUUGGAUUAAAAAGAUUUUAAAACGAGGUCCGGCGACUUUCCGGCGAUGUCCGACGGUGGUCCGGCGAGGUCCGGUGGUGGUCCGGCGACUUUCCGGUGGAAGUCCAUUUAUAAUAUUAAAUUAAUAAAAUAAAAUAAUAAUUAUUAAUAAUAUUAAAUAAGUUAAAAAAUUAAAGGGUAAUUUUAAAAACUUUAAUUUUUAAUAUAAGAGGAAUUUAAAAUUUUCACUAGUUAAUAUAAGAGAAUAUUAGAUUUUUUUGUUUUUUUUUUUAUUUUAGUUUAACAAUAUAAAUUUUUUUAAUUUUAAAUGGAUAAAUUAAUUGAAUUUUGGAUGUCCAUUAAAUAUUCAUACCCAUCCAAUAUCCAAUUGGAUAUUUUUAAAAAUAUCCAUAUCCAUAUCCAAAAAGAUUUUGGAUGGAUAUUAUCCAAUCCAAUUGGAUUGGAUAUAUGGAUAUCCAAUUUGGAUGGACCAAUUUGCCAUCCCUACUAAUAACAUUAAAGUAUAUUUAACAUUUAAAAUAAUAUUAAAAAUUUCAAAUUAUGAUUUUUAUUUUAAUCUUAUAUUUGUAUUUAUUAUAGAGAUUUUAAUAAACCUUUGGAUUAAAAAGAUUUUAAAAUUAACAAAAUGUCUUCCUAUUAAUAAUAUUAACAUUAUUUUUUAUAAUAUUCCAAAUAAUUUAAACUUCAAUUUAUUUAUUGUAAUAUUAUGUUUCUAUUUAUUAUUAAAAUUACUUUAAUAUGAUAAAAUAUUUUCUUGCUUGUCAAAAAAUUUUUUUUUCCACGAAAGCCAAAAUAAAAUUAUGUCAAUAUCAAUUCUUUAACAGAACAACCUUAGGCCUUUCUAAUGUUUAAUACUACUAUUUCCAUGCCCAAAAAUUGUAAAAUUUUUAAUUAGUCCUGUUACUGGGCUUGAGGCAGUUACGCCAGUGAAGGCAAUUUGAUAUUAAAAUAUUUUUUAAUGAAAAAUUCUUUAAAUUAAAAAAGAAACAAUUGAUUUAAGCACCAAUAAUUAUGUCAUGGUAGUAAUUAAAUAAGAUAAAGGUUGGAUACCGAUUGGGAUACCUGUUCUUUUCAAAAGGCACGCAUCUUGGACUUUUCUCUAAAUGAACGCGUAUCAAUUUUUUGAGUUAAAAAAAGAGCAAUAAUGUCAUAUUUGUGGAAUUUAGCCACUUACACAGUUUCUUGGCAUCUUCCUUUCAAAUUCUCCCAUGGUGUUUAAUCUUUCAACUAUACCUCUGAGUGCUACGGAGAGAAGGAGAUAUGCUGGAAUUCCACCUCCGACUGUUUUGUGAGAGGUUGAAAAGGGUGUUAGCAGGUGAAGAAGGCACGUUGCCGCUGCCAGAUUCAACAAAUUUAACUCCACUUUUUCAAAACCUUCUUACGGAGUCCGAAAUUAUUGCUACUACUCUGCUGGAAAAAAAUGAAGCUGACAUGGCUCGGCAUUUGUUUCAACUCAUUAGAGAAGAAUUCGAUGAAUCCAAAAUAUCUUCGCCUUUUUUGCAACUGUUGGACUUAGAAGAAAGCGAUGAAGAAGUCGUUGAAACAGCAGAUAUUUUUGAAAUUCUGGAGGACAUCAAUGACUUUGUCCAUGAAUCUGAGGAAGCCAUUGACACACUCUUCAUCAACAUCAUGCAGCAGCAAAACAGUGAAAACGAAAGUGAAAGCAGUACUAAUAUGGCUCUUCUUGCUGGUCUCCACAGUAAAAUCAUUGAUAUUAGUAAUCGGAUGCAACAACUUCCACCCGGCGACAAUGGUUUUGAUAUCAGUGAAAAAAGUAACGAAAUCAUUCGCCUAUUGAGUGAGGGACAACCUCGGCUCGAUAUCAGUGAAUUUGAAAGGGGCAGAGAGAAGUUUUUUGAUCUAUUGAUUGAGGGACCAUCUGGGCUUUCAGUGGUUGCAAUUCUCGACAGCAGUGGCUUCGAUAUUUUUCAUAAAGGUAAAGAAUGUUAAAUUAAUGUUCUCUGAUGAUAUUUCUUAUCGGAUUUCCCUCAAAAGCAAAAUAAAUUGUCGGAAAAAUAAUACCUACUUCCUUAAAUUUUAAAAAAAUUAUCAUUUAGACCCUGAAAUUUUAAAACAGUUGCACCAAAAUCUUUUCUUUAACUAUGAUACCUCUUGAAUGUACUAACUAAAAAAUUGACUUUAAAAAAUUUUAAUCAAUACGAAUAUAAUAUAAAUAAUAAAAUCUACGUAGUAGGCUAAUAACAUUAAAGUAUAUUUAACAUUUAAAAUAAUAUUAAAAAUUUCAAAUUAUGAUUUUUAUUUUAAUCUUAUAUUUGUAUUUAUUAUAGAGAUUUUAAAUAAACCUUUGGAUUAAAAAGAUUUUAAAAUUAACAAAAUGUCUUCCUAUUAAUAAUAUUAACAUUAUUUUUUAUAAUAUUCAAAAUAAUUUAAACUUUAAUUUAUUUAUUGUAAUAUUAUGUUUCUAUUUAUUAUUAAAAUUACUUUAAUAUGAUAAAAUAUGCAUAAUAAAUUUUAAAAAAUAAAAUAAUUUUCUUGCUUGUCAACAAUUUUUUUUUUUCCACCAAAACCAAAAUAAAAUUAUGUCAAUAUCAAUUCUUUAACAGAACAACCUUAGGCCUUUCUAAUGUUUAAUACUACUAUUUCCAUGCCCAAAAAUUGUAAAAUUUUUAAUUAGUCCUGUUACUGGGCUUGAGGCAGUUACGCCAGUGAAGGCAAUUUGAUAUUAAAAUAUUUUUUAAUGAAAAAUUCUUUAAAUUAAAAAAGAAACAAUUGAUUUAAGCACCAAUAAUUAUGUCAUGGUAGUAAUUAAAUAAGAUAAAGGUUGGAUACCGAUUGGGAUACCUGUUCUUUUCAAAAGGCACGCAUCUUGGACUUUUCUCUAAAUGAACGCGUAUCAAUUUUUUGAGUUAAAAAAAGAGCAAUAAUGUCAUAUUUGUGGAAUUUAGCCACUUACACAGUUUCUUGGCAUCUUCCUUUCAAAUUCUCCCAUGGUGUUUAAUCUUUCAACUAUACCUCUGAGUGCUACGGAGAGAAGGAGAUAUGCUGGAAUUCCACCUCCGACUGUUUUGUGAGAGGUUGAAAAGGGUGUUAGCAGGUGAAGAAGGCACGUUGCCGCUGCCAGAUUCAACAAAUUUAACUCCACUUUUUCAAAACCUUCUUACGGAGUCCGAAAUUAUUGCUACUACUCUGCUGGAAAAAAAUGAAGCUGACAUGGCUCGGCAUUUGUUUCAACUCAUUAGAGAAGAAUUCGAUGAAUCCAAAAUAUCUUCGCCUUUUUUGCAACUGUUGGACUUAGAAGAAAGCGAUGAAGAAGUCGUUGAAACAGCAGAUAUUUUUGAAAUUCUGGAGGACAUCAAUGACUUUGUCCAUGAAUCUGAGGAAGCCAUUGACACACUCUUCAUCAACAUCAUGCAGCAGCAAAACAGUGAAAACGAAAGUGAAAGCAGUACUAAUAUGGCUCUUCUUGCUGGUCUCCACAGUAAAAUCAUUGAUAUUAGUAAUCGGAUGCAACAACUUCCACCCGGCGACAAUGGUUUUGAUAUCAGUGAAAAAAGUAACGAAAUCAUUCGCCUAUUGAGUGAGGGACAACCUCGGCUCGAUAUCAGUGAAUUUGAAAGGGGCAGAGAGAAGUUUUUUGAUCUAUUGAUUGAGGGACCAUCUGGGCUUUCAGUGGUUGCAAUUCUCGACAGCAGUGGCUUCGAUAGGACUGCUUUUGCUGCAGAUACUUACAACAAUAAUCAUGUAAAGUUCUAUUUUGACUGUCUUGCUUGGGUCAGGGUUUCUGUAUUCUACGAUUUUCGCAUGAUAUUGGAUGACAUAAUCAAGUCUGUGAUGCCUCCAUCUCGGGUGAGUGUAAUUAUCGGUGAAGAUUAUCAAUUCAAGGAAUCUAUUCUUCGAGAUUACCUAACAAACAGGAAGUACUUUAUUGUGCUUGAUGAUGUCUGCGAUAACAUUGAGAUAUGGGAUGAUCUUGAAGAAGUUCUUCCUGAUAAUCAGAAUGGAAGCAGAGUAUUGAUAUUGGUCACUGAUCCAGACCUCCUUGCGUCGUUGGAAAUGGAAAACGGAGAGAAGAUUCGGCUUGCUUCGGUGCUCAUUGGAGGACCAUUGAUCAGAUUAAAGCAUGAAGCCUGGCAAUUUUUCGUCCUACACCAUGGAAGUAUGCCAUUAGAAAAUUAUGUUCAAGGCGAAGCGAUUCCGACAGUUUGGAGACAAAUUUUCUCUGUGAUGGAGUUACCUUUUCACUUGAAAGUCUGCUGCAUCUAUUUGUGUGUCUUCCCACCAGGCAUUGAGAUAUCCACGAGGCAAUUAUAUCAGUUGUGGGUAGCUGAAGGUUUCAUACCAUACAACGAUGAAGAAACUGCCGAACAUUACUUGAAAGAACUAAUCCAUCGCGGCUUCAUUCAAGUGAGUAAGAGAAGAGCCGGAGGCACAAUUAAAGCUUGUUAUGUUCCAAGUCUUGCAUAUACUCCAAUGGUUUUGGUGGCAGAGAAGACGGGAUUUGUCUGGAUGCCUGAAAUGGAAGGGGGAUCAGUGGCAUAUGUUAAACGGUGCUUCAUUUUGGAUGAUCUGAUUGACUUCUUUUCUUUGAAGCAUUCUGACAUGUACCUCCAAUCUUUUAUGAAUCACAGUUCAGAAAGCGAUCGUCUCGCUCUGAUAGAUUGCGAGAAUUUUUGUAAAAAGUUCAAACACCUUCGGGUAUUGAAUUUGGGUUCUGCAGUCCUGGACCAAUAUCCACCCGGAUUAGGAAAUUUAUAUCUUUUGAAGUAUUUGAAAUUGAAUAUCCCUUCGCUCAAAUGCCUUCCUUCACUGCUCUGCACCCUUUUAAACCUUCAAACACUAGAAAUGCCAUCUAGCUACAUAGAUCAGUCGCCAGAGGAUAUUUGGAUGAUGCAAAAACUCAUGCAUCUAAACUUUGGUUCUAUCACUCUGCUGUACGGCCAAGGCGGAUGUACGGUACAGCAGAAUAUGUAUAAUAAAUUGUAAAAUACAAAAAUAUUUUCAAAAAAUUAUUCUAGCUCUCUGAAAAAUCUCAUUUUCAUAUCAGCUUUAAACCCUAGUAGUUGUACUCCUGAUAUAUUGGGCAGACUACCUAGUGUUCAGACUCUUCGGAUAUCUGGAGAUUUGAGUUACUAUCAAUCUGGGGUUUCCAAAAGCCUUUGCGAACUCCACAAACUUGAAUGCUUGAAGCUGGUGAAUGAGAGCAAGCCCUCACGGAUGGUCCUGUCUGAAUACCAAUUUCCCCCAAGUCUGAUCCAACUGAGCUUAUCAAAUACUGAGCUAAUGGAGGAUCCCAUGCCAAUUCUGGAAAAUCUUCCACGCCUUCGAGUGCUGAAACUGAAGCAGAACUCGUAUUUAGGAAGAAAGCUUGCUUGUGUUGGCUUGAGUAGCUUUCCCGAACUUAAGGUUUUGCACCUGAAAUCAAUGUAUUGGCUAGAUGAGUGGACGAUGGGGGCUGGAGCAAUGCCGAAACUUGAAAGCUUAAUUGUCAACCCAUGUGCUUACUUGAGAAAGCUUCCAGAAGAGCUGUGGUGCAUAAAGAGCUUGCGCAAAUUGAAUUUACAUUGGCCUCAGACAGAGUUGAGACAAACACUACGGACUUUCGAGGAUAUGGAGUGGCGGUAUGACAUCCAGUUAUAUCCUUACGGAAUCUGAUGGAUUGAAUUGGGUGAGUUUUAAUCUUUUCUGAUAACUCAUAUUUUUAUAUGCAUUUUCUUUUUUUUCCCACUUUCUCAAUAGAUUUAUAUUUAUGGUAAAACCUUCAAGGAGGUCAUAAAAAUGCCAAACUAAUUGAGAUUGCUUCUGAUGUCAAAAUUAUGUCUCAGCAUAGACUCAGCUUGGGUGGCAAAACAGAGUGGGAUAGCCACACAUUGCAGCAGAGAAACAAAGAAAGAUCCCCCUUUUAUCAAUCUAAUAAGAACCGUAAAAGCAGAUUUUCAUUUAUUAUUCUUAUUUUCACUUACGUAGGCAAAAUUGGAGAGGGAAACAACGCCAGCCGGACUUUCAGUUUCAAUUUUAAUUCAGCAUUGAUUCAUGAGACAGGGCAUUGUUUUAUUUAGCAGAUUUCGAGGAUUUGCUAUAAACAUGCCAUGGUUGCAAUGUUGUCUACAAACUUGAACUUUUGCACUCCUUUUGCUAUUUUGAAUUUGCUGGUAUGUAUGUGUGUAUUCUGUUUUAAUAUAUAUAUAUAUAUUCUGUUUUAUGCUUAGAAGUAUUCCAUUUAAACCCCCGACUUGCAGGUAUGGUUUGCUAGUCAAAGAAAUAUCAAUUUUCUAGGAAAAAUUCCUCAUUUUAGUUGCUGAUUGCACGUUCAAUUUCGUUCUUAGAAUAUUCGUUCUCAUUAAAAUGAUGCACGCACUGAUGUUUUGAAUCAUAUCAGAGAAUCAUUUGUAUUUAUUGAGAGUCAAUUACAACUGAUGUAGCAGGAUUUUAGGUCAUAUGAGAACAAGCAUGUAGGAAAAAAUUCAUCUAGAAAAUUAGUGCAGCCGCACUUUCAAUCGAAUUGCUAUUAUGAACAACAAUUCAUGAGUAAAUCGUUGUUCAAACUACAGGUAGCUUAUACAAACUUAAAUGGCUUUUGAGUAGAAGCAAUGUCAACGCUAGGAAUUCAAUACAAAAGCAGUCAAGUUCAAGUAGUAAUAUGAUUUAAAAAACUCUCGAUAAGAUAACAAGUAUUAAAUUUUUAAAAUUUCAUUGAAAUAUUUUCAUACAAUCAAUUUAAUUGCGGCCGUCUUCCAAAUGUUUUCAUAUUUUAAAUUGUUGAAUCAUAAUCAACCUCUUUAUCAGCACCACAAAAAAUAUCAUUUCUAAUGCAAACAACUAGGUUAUUGCUUAUCAUUGUCUAAUAGAGCAUAUUAGCAGCUAUCAUAAAAAUAAAAAAAAAAAUUAUUGUCUGAUUUUAAGAUACUUUCAAGUUUGACCCCCUACCUCAAUUGUCAGAGAGGGGAAAAAAAGAGUAAAUAACAUGAAAAGAAAGUAUAUGAAGUCAAAAAAAAGGUUGGGAAUAAGUAAUAUACAAAUGUAAGGCUGCUUCGAUCACAUUUGAAGUUAAUGACAAGCAUAGCUCUUCAUAUUUAAGUAAAUAUAAAAUAGAAUAUUAGCUGUUGAAUAGAUUAUAAGCAUAGAUCUUGACUUUUGAAUUUAAUUACAGAAAUUUUGGUGGAUUGGUGAACAGAAGAAAUCCAUUCGUUCCACCAAUUACAUUGAGGAUUUUAAUGAAUCCCAAUCUCAGGUAACAUGUUAAUGCCAACAGUACUGGCAAGAUAUCAAAUGCGGGAGAUUCGAGACUAUUAGCUUUAAGAGAACCAAUAGAGACUGACAAGUUAGAAAUAACUUGCUAAGUUGAGAAGUACGACUGACAAAAUGAAUAUAGUGGGAAAAUCAAGAUAAGCUAAUAGUUUUCUGUUUCUGCAUCUCUCUUACCGUCUCUGUUAUAUUUGCUUUUAACAACUCAAAUAUUUAGGAUUUAUUUACCAAUUGUUAUUCUACGUCACAAAUACUCUGUUUUUUUUUUCUUUUUUCUUUAAUCGCUCUGUUUUAUACUUUUGACAUAUCUUUUAGGUCUUUAGUCUACCAAAUAAUCAUAAAUAAAGCAUAUAAAAUGUAUUUCUAAUUUCAGAAGGCAUCUAGGACUUUAUUCUCUGCUUUACUUCUAAAUUAAUUAGCCAAAGGAAGUUUGGCUUUCAGCAGAGCACUUUAAAAAGAAAAUGAGAAAUGAGUCAUCUUUAACUAUUAUGCUCAUCCUUAAUGUCUCCACGUUAACAAUUGUAAGGAAGUGAGGACUGUAAAUUUACUUUCUGUCUAUUUAUUCUUUUGAGAAUCGUUUGUAUUUAUUGAGAGUCAACAUACAUACACUUUGUAGUAUAGCCCAGAGAUCUGCGAUCCACUCCCACCAAUACUCGGAGAGAUAUCUAAUGCUAUCCAGAUUCAUAAAAAUGAGCCUCAUUAAAAGCCUAGUGGCGAUAUGAGUUUUUUUCCUCAAGAAAUGUUUCUGUAAAUUGCUUAAAUAUUGGUGGGGAUGCAUAAUUGUAACCCAGUUGAUUAAUUUCUAACACAACUGAUGUAGCAGGAUUUUGGGUCAUACGAGAACAAGCAUGUAGGAAAAACUUCAUCUAGAAAAUUAGUGCAGCCGCACUUUCAAUCAAAUUGCUAUUAUGAACAAGUAUUAAAUUUUUAAAAUUUCAUUGAAAUAUUUUCAUACAAUCAAUUUAAUUGCGGCCGUCUUCCAAAUGUUUUCAUAUUUUAAAUUGUUGAAUCAUAAUCAACCUCUUUAUCAGCACCACAAAAAAUAUCAUUUCUAAUGCAAACAACUAGGUUAUUGCUUAUCAUUGUCUAAUAGAGCAUAUUAGCAGCUAUCAUAAAAAUAAAAAAAAAAAUUAUUGUCUGAUUUUAAGAUACUUUCAAGUUUGACCCCCUACCUCAAUUGUCAGAGAGGGGAAAAAAAGAGUAAAUAACAUGAAAAGAAAGUAUAUGAAGUCAAAAAAAAGGUUGGGAAUAAGUAAUAUACAAAUGUAAGGCUGCUUCGAUCACAUUUGAAGUUAAUGACAAGCAUAGCUCUUCAUAUUUAAGUAAAUAUAAAAUAGAAUAUUAGCUGUUGAAUAGAUUAUAAGCAUAGAUCUUGACUUUUGAAUUUAAUUACAGAAAUUUUGGUGGAUUGGUGAACAGAAGAAAUCCAUUCGUUCCACCAAUUACAUUGAGGAUUUUAAUGAAUCCCAAUCUCAGGUAACAUGUUAAUGCCAACAGUACUGGCAAGAUAUCAAAUGCGGGAGAUUCGAGACUAUUAGCUUUAAGAGAACCAAUAGAGACUGACAAGUUAGAAAUAACUUGCUAAGUUGAGAAGUACGACUGACAAAAUGAAUAUAGUGGGAAAAUCAAGAUAAGCUAAUAGUUUUCUGUUUCUGCAUCUCUCUUACCGUCUCUGUUAUAUUUGCUUUUAACAACUCAAAUAUUUAGGAUUUAUUUACCAAUUGUUAUUCUACGUCACAAAUACUCUGUUUUUUUUUUCUUUUUUCUUUAAUCGCUCUGUUUUAUACUUUUGACAUAUCUUUUAGGUCUUUAGUCUACCAAAUAAUCAUAAAUAAAGCAUAUAAAAUGUAUUUCUAAUUUCAGAAGGCAUCUAGGACUUUAUUCUCUGCUUUACUUCUAAAUUAAUUAGCCAAAGGAAGUUUGGCUUUCAGCAGAGCACUUUAAAAAGAAAAUGAGAAAUGAGUCAUCUUUAACUAUUAUGCUCAUCCUUAAUGUCUCCACGUUAACAAUUGUAAGGAAGUGAGGACUGUAAAUUUACUUUCUGUCUAUUUAUUCUUUUGGCAUAUGUGCACGAAUAUAUAUGUCAGGAAAUUGAAUUGUAUGAUUUUCACGAUGACUCUUAAAUGCACGCAUCCAUAUCUUUCUAUUUUCAAAGAUGGUAAUGGAAAACUGUGUUACUCUCUCUUAACAUUACACUAAUUCUAAAAUACCUAAAAUGUAUAAAUAUAUCUAAUAUAGACUUACUAAGAAAUCAUGUGAGACAUUAAGGAUAUGUUUGGUACCUUUUUGGCAAACUGUUUUUCGUUUUACAAACAAAAAAUACAAAAUUGAAUAGUUCUUGGUUUUCCCUUUUUUUUCAUUAAGUUAGAGAACGUUAAAUUGACGUUUCUCUUAUCUUAUUUCUCAUCGGAUUCCCUCAAAAGUAAAAUUAAUUAUCGGAAAAAAAGACACUUAUACCUCUAGGAUUUAGACAAAUUGUCAUGCAGACCCUCAAAUUUUUAAAAAGAAAUGCCAAAAUUUUUUUUUUAACAGAUGGGGGCUGGAGCAAUGCCAAAACUUGAAAGCUUAAUUGUCAACCCAUGUCUGCUGUACGGCCAAGGCGGAUGUACGGUACAGCAUAAACAAAAUAUCUUCCUAUUAAUAAUAUUAAAAUUAUUUGUAUAAUAUUCAAAAUAAUUUAAACUUUAAUUGAUUUAUUGUAAUAUUAUGUUUCCAUUUAUUAUUAAAAUUACUUUAAUAUGAUAAAAUAUGUAUAACAGAUUGUAAAAUAUAAAAACAGUAUCUUGCUUGUCAACAAAUUUUUUUUUUUUACUCGAAAGCAAAAAUAAAAUUAUGCCAAUAUCAAUUCUUUGACAGAACAACCUUAGCUUUCUGAUGUUUAAUACUACUCUUUCUAAGCCCAAAAAUUCUAAAAUUUUUAAUUAAUUCUGUUACUGGGAUUGCGGCAGUAAUACCAUUGAAGGCAUUUUGAUAUUAAUUUUUUUUAAAGAAAAAUUCUUUAAAUUAAAAAAAGAAACAAUUGAAGAAAUCUGUUCUUCGAGAUUACCUAACAAACAAGAAGUACUUUAUUGUGCUUGAUGAUGUCUUCGAUGACAGUGAGUUAUGGGAUGAUCUGGAAGAACUUCUUCCUAAUAAUCAGAAUGGAAGCAGAGUAUUGAUAUUGGUUGCUGAUCUCGACCUCCUUGCGUCAUUGGAAAUGGAAAACGGAGAGAAGAUUCGGCUAAAUUCAGUGCUCGUUGGAGGACCAUUGAUCAGAUUAAAGCAUGAAGCCUGGCAAUUUUUCAUCCUACACUACGGAAGUGCGCCAUUAGAAAAUUUAUGGAUGAAAAAGUGGUUUUGACAUUUUGAGUCGAACUUGUUCUGUGUGGGAGUUAUCUUUUCACUUGAAAGCCUGCGGCAUCUAUCUGUGUGUCUUCCCUCCAAGCAUUAAGAUAUCUACCAGGCAGUUACGUCAGUUGUGGAUAGCUGAAGGUUUCAUACAAUACAACAGUGAAGAAACUGCCGAACACUACUUGAAAGAACUAAUCCAUCGCGGCUUCUUUCAAGUGAGUAAGAGAAGAGCCGGAGGCACAAUUAAAGCGUGUUAUGUUCCAAGUCUUGUAUAUUAUUCAUUGUUGUUGGUGGCAGAGAAGACGAGAUUUGUCUUGAUGCCUGACAAGGAAGAGGAAUCUUUGGCAAAUGUUAAACGGUGCUUCAUUUUGGAAGAUCUGAUUGAGUUCAUUUUUUUAGAACAGUCUGGCAUGUAUCUCCAGUCUUUUCUAAAUCACAGUUCAGAAAGCGAUCAUCUCGCUCUGAUAGAUUGCGAGAAUUUUUGUGAAAAGUUCAAAUACCUUCGGUUACUGAACUUGGGUUAUGCAGUUCUCGACCAAUUUCCACUCGGAUUAGAAAAUUUAAUCCUUUUGAAGCAUUUGAAAUUGAAUAUCCCUUCGCUCAAAUGCCUUCCUUCGCUGCUGUGCACUAUUUUAAACCUUCAAACACUAGAAAUGCCAUCUAGCUACGUAGAUCACUCGCUGGAGGAUAUUUGGAUGAUGCAAAAACUCAUGCAUCUAAACUUUGGUUCCAUCACUCUUCCCGCACCUCCAAAAAAUUAUUCUAGCUCUCUGAAAAAUCUCAUUUUCAUAUCAGCUUUAAACCCUAGUAGUUUUACUCCUGAUAUAUUGCGCAGACUACCUAAUGUUCAAACACUUCGGAUAUCUGGAGAUUUGAGUUGCUAUCACUCUGGGGUUUCCAAUAGCCUAUUGGGACUCCACAAACUUGAAUGCUUGAAGCUGGUGAAUGAGAGCAAGCUCUCACGGGUUGUCCUGUCUAAAUACCAGUUUCCUUUAAGUCUAAGCCAUCUGAGCUUAUCAAAUACUGAGCUAAUGCAGGAUCCCAUGCCAAUUAAUAUAUCAAGACUAGUUUGAAAAUCUACUUCUACUAAUAAUAAUAUUUAAGGAGAAAUUAGCUGUCACGUGGCUGCUGUGGAGUCCUAUUCAUCAGGGUAGUUGUUGUUAUAGUCAAAAUAAAUAUUUAGUUUUUAUUUACUUGUAGAAGUGGUCCACUACGUCAGCACUUGUUGCUAUCAUUUAGCUGUGUCUUUGUUAUUUUCUGUUCAAGUCUUUAUAUAAAUUCAUAGUCCAAAGAUUAAAAAAAAAAAAAAAAAAUUCAUAGUCCAAAGAUAAAAAAAAAAAAAAAAAAAGCAACAGAUUAAUUUUCUUCAAAGUUCAUCUAGUAUUGAAGGCCGUGGUCUUCCUCAAAAUAGACCAAGUUCAGUUGUUCGUUCUUUAUUUAGUUGACUACUACAAUAGGGAAACAAAAGAAAAUGAUCCUGAAAGGGCUUGAUUUGUUAUACAUACCAAUUACAAGGUCAGUUAUGUAGGCAUGUAACAAAAUAGUAUCAGAGCAAGGCAUGUAGGAAUCAUGAUUGAAAAGCUUAGAAACCGAAGUAAGCUCCUUGCAGCUUAAUUUAUAGUCAAAUUCAAAUCUUGAACAAUGGUCAUGAACGAAAGAAUAUCAUGAAAUGUGAUAAUCCAAACGAAGGUGCGAAUGGAUAUUGGUAUUAUGGGCUCUGCUUAGACUAUUUACACAUUUAAACAAUAAUCAUCACUAUUUUCGACCACUAUAUCUUCCGAAAAUAAUUUUUGCCAAAAGUCACCAUAUUUGUGAAUUAAAUCUAUUUUAAAAAUAGAUUUAAUCACCAUCAAUUUUGUCACGGUAAGAUAAAGUAGGGAUAGCUAAUAUAUAUAUUCUUUCUAAAAGUCAUGACUUUUCUCUAAACAUUAAUCAUAUUUUUUUUGAGAAAAGUGAGUAAUAAUAAUAUCGUCAGGAGUUUAGAUAAUGCUAUAUGAUCAACUGAUUUAAAAAAAAUACAAUUGAUAUAGCAGCGUCCUAGGUCAUAUGAGGACAAACAUGUAGGAAAGUUCAUCUAGAAAAUUAGUGCAUCCGCAGUUUCAAUCAAAUUGCUAUAUUGAGCAACAAUUAAUGAAUAAAUUUGUUAUUCAACCUAUAUGUAACUAACACAAAUUUUAAUGACCUUCACAUAGCAGCAGUGGAAGUACCCAAUUUUUGAGACUUCACUGAAAUAUUUUCAUUCAAUCAAUUUACAACCAUCUUCCAUAUGCUUUCAUAUUUUAAAAUGUUAAAUGUUAAUCUCACUAUCAACACCACAAAAAAUAUAUCAUUUUUAAUGAAGACAAUUAGGUUAUCAUUUCUAAUAGAGCAUCUUGAGCAGUUAGCUUAAAAAAAUUAAGCAAACUAUUGUAUGAUUUUUAAGAUAUUUUAAGUAAUUUUAUCAACUAUAAAAUCAUCACCUAGUUCAUUAUAAGUGACACAACAUUGGUCAAUGACACAUAACAUUGGAAUUUAAGUUGGUACUCAAUUGUUGGGAUCUCUAAUAUUAUUGGACAUGAUUUAAUGAUCAAAUUCAAAUUUUGCACCGGUGGCCAUGAAUGAAAGAAUAUCAUGAAAGGUGUUAAGAUGCACAUGGAUAUUGGUAUUAGGGAUUAUGUUUAGGAUAUCAAUUAUUCAUACAGAUUUACUCUACAAAAAAUCAUUCCAAAUUUCAUAAUUAUUUUCCCUCUUACUUAUUUCCGAAGUUAUUUUCUUCCUCUUCCUAACGUUUCUCUAAUUCUGAAUCCCUUAACGAUGAGGGGAAAAAGAUUAAGAAAGUCAAACUGAUUAAAGCUAAAUAAAUAAAUAUUAGAAUCCAAAUUUUCCGUGCCCAAAUUCCGUUGAAUAUGAAAUAUAUAAAAUUAGCAAAUUGACUACAUCAAAAAAUUAAAAAAAUCAAAAUUCAUCAUGUAAAAAUCUUAUUUAACUCCUAAUUUCAUUACAAAAUCGUUCACAAGUUAAUUGAUAUCAGUAUUAGGUGAUCAAAGCUCAAGCAUUUUUAAUAAGCAAAGCUCAAAAGAAUUUCAUAAGAAAUCACUUACCAAUGAAAAUCAAUGCAGAGAAACAAUUGAGCUAUUUUCCUAGAGGGUAUAACGAUGAUGACAAUGAGUAGAAUCACUUAAUUAACGUAUUGAAAUAGCAACUUAGUUCAGAUCUACAAUGCCACUUGCUAUAUGAAAACGUAUAUAAUCAUAAUUAAUUAGCGAAAUGUCAAGUUCUAUUUUGACUGUCUUGCUUGGGUCAGGGUUUCUGUAUUCUACCAUUUUGGCAAGAUAUUGGAUGGCAUAAUCAAGUCUGUGAUGCCUCCAUCUCAGGUUAGUGUAAUUAUCGGUGAAGAUUAUAAUACAUAUUCAAUUAUAACAAACGAUUAUUAAAUUACUCCCAUCGAAAGGAUUAGGUUUGUCAUUAUUGACAAUUAAAUUAACAAGAUUCUCAUUUUCUCUCACCGCAUGCAUUGCAAGUUGAAAAGAACAUUGACUUGAGAAAAUACUCUGAUGAUUAAAUUACUCCCAAUAAUCAGAAUGGAAGCAGAGUAUUGAUAUUGGUCACUGAUCCACACCUCCUUACGCUGUCGGAAAUGGAAAACGGAGAGAAGAUUCGGCUUGAUUCAGUGAAAGAUGUUAAGAAAAGAACAAAUGUUCAUCAAUUUAGACAAUAUAAUCAAACAACUAAAAUUUUUUUAGUGAAAUUUCUAUUUAUAAUACCUCUACUAACAAAAUAUCUACUUAAAUAAGUUCUACUAAGCUAUAUUAUUAUGAACCGUAUCGAUUAAAGCAAAUACCAUUGACUUGAGAAAGCACUUUUUGUGUUUCUUUAUAAGUGUGAACAUGUACCAAACAAACUCUUUAUAAAACCAAAAAAGUCUCUUGUUCUGUGUUGGAGUUACCUUUUCACUUGAAAGUCUGCUGCAUUUAUUUGUGUGUUUUCCCUCCAAGUAUUGAGAUAUCUACUAGGCAAUUAUAUCAGUUGUGGGAAGCUGAAGGCUUCAUACCAUACAACAGUGAGGAAACUGCCGAACAUCACUUAAAAGAACUAAUCCAUCGCGGCUUCAUUCAAGUGAGUAAGAGAAGCGCCGGAGGCACGAUUAAAGCGUGUUAUGUUCCAAGU